This 47283-nucleotide long non-coding RNA is filed under the name Nicotiana tabacum (common tobacco). Its description in RNAcentral is "long non-coding RNA (NTAB_LNC011821)". The record is from RNAcentral. Lineage: Eukaryota; Viridiplantae; Streptophyta; Magnoliopsida; Solanales; Solanaceae.
AGCUAUUGGAAGGAGUUUCUCCAUUAUGAAUAAUGAACAAAUUGAUGGCAAUAAGGAGAUGGUAGCAAUUGGCCUUAUGAAUAUUGCUGGCUCUUUCACUUCUUGCUACUUGACUACGGGUAAUUUAGUUGUAAGACUGAAAUAAGUCGAUUGUUGUCAUUCUGAAUGUCAUUCUGAAAAUUAGGGUUUAGAAGUCUUUCGUCUAGGAGAUAUAGCUUCUCAGCGUAUCUACUAAUUAUUUUCAGGGCCAUUUUCAAAAACUGCGGUGAACCACAACGCGGGAUGCAAGACUCAAAUGUCAAAUGUAGUCAUGUCACUCUGCAUGUUGCUAACCCUACUAUUUCUGGCUCCGCUCUUUGGCUACACACCACUCGUUGCUCUCUCUGCUAUUAUCAUGUCUGCAAUGCUUGGCCUAAUUGAUUAUGAGAAGUUCUAUCACCUCUACAAGACAGACAAAUUUGAUUUCUUGAUUUGUAUGGUUGCCUUUUUGGGUGUUGCCUUUAUAAGCAUGGACAUGGGACUCAUGAUGUCGGUACGAGCCAAACGUCUUUCUUUAUUUCUUAAAUUAAAUUCUGUAGCCAGUCAAAUACUGUCAUAUAAAAUUAAACAGAGCGGAUGCAAUAUCACAUAGAUCAAUGUUUGAUUAUUUUUUUUUUUAACUUUUUUUUUGUGUGUGUAAUUUAGGUUGGACUUGCCUUGGUUAGAGCACUUCUAUAUGUAGCAAGGCCACCAACUUGCAAGCUUGGAAACAUAACAGAAACUGUGUUUAGAGACAUAGAACAAUAUCCUGGUGUAGAUGGAAUUCAAGGAAUUCUGAUUUUGAAGCUUGGUUCUCCAAUAUACUUCCCAAAUAGCAACUAUGUCAGAGAAAGGUAAGAAAUUGCUCUUAAUUUCUUUCUUUUAUAUGUCCCGCUAUCGGCUGGUGCACUAGGCUCCCGUUAUACGAGGGGUUCGUGCAAAGACCAAACAAUAUUCGGUCCAUGUACACAGCCUUAUUGUGAGGGGCGAAGCCACAUUUUGUUUAGUGUGGUCAAGUGAUCACCCUUUGUCAGAAAAUUACACUGUGUCAGAAAAUAUCUUUAAAGGUACAUAAUAUAUGUUGAACGCCCUUUGUCGAGAAUUUUUUUUAUUUCUUUCAAGUUUGAACACUCUUGAGGAAAUUUCUGGUUUCGCAACUGCUUAUUGAGCCUUUCUACAAGAGGCUAUUUCCACGGCUUGAAUGCGUGACUGUACUUGCCACGUGGCGGCAACUUUUAUUGCGGCGCCAAGACUCCCUCUGAAUUUCUUUAUUUUUAUUAUUAUUUAUAAAACAGGACCAAAAUGCUGCUUCUUUAAUUUCCUUAAAAAAAAUCUUCUAAUAAUUAGAUCUUAUUUUGAUGAUUAAAUUGAGCAGGAUUCUAAGAUGGGUCAGAGAUGAGCAAUCUCUUGAAAGCUCUAAAAGAAAUGAAGUUGAAUUCUUGAUACUAGAUUUUGGAGGUAUGAGUACUUAUCAUUACCUNNNNNNNNNNNNNNNNNNNNNNNNNUUGAAAUUCGUAAAUCCCUAGGCGCAAAAGGGAUCAAGGUAAAACUUUACUUCCUUAUUCAAUUACACUUACAUAGAUUAAUUAGGGCACAAAUAGUCGUUCUAUGGAUGUUAUUUAGAGAUUAACCAAUACUCAUUUUGUCCUGAAAUUUUAAAUCAAAAUCUUAACUUCAGGACAACUCGGGAUAUUUUUAUCCUGGAAAAUUGAACUUAGAAAUUAAGAUUCAAGACGCACUGUUAAUUCUUAAAUAGCAGCCCUUUAAAGUGGCUACCUGAUGUCAUUUCUACAGAUUAAUUUCACGACUGGUCACUGAACUUAUUGACUAUAAUAAUUUUGUGAGUUUACAUUUAUAGCAAAAUAAAGUUCAGUGGUCAUACGUGAAAUUAAUCGGUAUUUACACAGGAAUUUCACGAGUUUCUUAUUAUUAUUAUUAUUAUUAUUGCAAUUUCUUUUUAUGUAGAUAAUAUUGGUUAAUCCAAGAUUGGGAGUUAUGGAAAAGUUGAUAGUGACAAGAUUCAUAGAUGUGAUUGGAAAGGAAUCAGUGUUCUUAACUAUUGAAGAUGCAAUUGAAACAUGCAGAUUUUCACUAAAAUGUUCAAGCCAAUCCAAAAGAGAAGAUGUGGAAAUUGCUUAGCCUACAUUUUUUGGUUGUGGUAGGCUAGAGUUUUGAAAUAACACAACCAAAUUUUAUUUUUAUUUUUAACUGUAAAUAUGCACCAAGAAAAGAAAAAGAAAUAAAGAAAAAAUAAGUAUAGUUAAUUCUACCAUAGGGAAUUGUAGUCCUUUUUUUUCCUUCAAAUUUUAUCAACCUUUUAUCCAUUUGCUUUUAGGGUUGUUAGAAAUUUUGGAUAUUUGAGUUUGAAUAAUUUCAUUGUUACAAUUACUUUAAGAAUUUUGAUGUGUGUAUAGAGAGUGCUAAAUUUUGAUGCAAAUCUAUGUAGUUAUCAGAUGUUUAUGCUUUAUUGCUAUUACCUAGUCUUUGUUUUUUCACUCGAUAUUUGAUGCUCGUUUCCAUACCUGACUAAUUAGGAUUCACAUCGAAAAAUUUCAGUUCGAGGGGAUAAGCGCUCUUUACCAAAUAUGACUCGACGCAUCUAAUUAAUUCUUUUGAAUUGUUGAAUUCUAAAUUAAUAAAUUGUAUAUCUUAAAUGAACUUUUAAGAAAGUAUUCCAUAUUAAUUAGGAAGAGCUAUCUUUUCUUUUUAUAAGGAAUUGUCCUUCUAGUGAGCUUGUAAGGAGUUAAAAAAGGAAUUGGACUCGCCCGCACAAGAGUUGGGCCCAAAAGCAAAAUGGGUCGAUGCCCCUAGCAAGCGAACAAAAAGGUCGAAGUGCAGUAAUAGCCACUUUCAAACCCACUCUUUGAAAUAUAUUCACAAUUUGUAAUGUAUUUAAAGAUUAGCCAAUUCAUCCAAACUUCAGGACUAAGUAUCGUGAAUUUGAAAAUUUGGGAUUAGUAUCCUGAAUUUUUGAACUGCUAAUUUGAAAUUCAAGACUGCGUGUCCUGAAUAUUUAAACUAGUAAUUUAAAAUUCAGGACAUAAGAUUCGAACUUCUUGACAAAAUUUUCGAACUUUAGGACACGAUGUCCUGAAGUAUGAACUUUGAGGUUUAAACUCUACGACGUCGUGUCCUGAAAUUUGAGCAAUUGACUAAUUUUUAAAUAUAUUAUAAACUGUGGAUAUAUUUUAAACAACCUGUUUAAAAGUGGCUAACUGGUGUCCUUUCCACGAACAAAAACUAGUAGCCCAACAAACUUAUGUUACUAUUACAAGACAUAAUCCAAUCAAAGAGGAAGGGCCUUAUGUUAUUAAAAUGCUUUGUAACUAAUAUUUUUUGGUAAAAAGUUGCUUAUUUGUAUGAACUCUUGCAUUAACUUCCUGUAGUUCAAAAACUUUAAUGUAAAUGCAGAUCGUCUUCUUGACUUCAACGACUUUAUUGAAGUGAUGAAAAACACUAAACAUAGAACAUAUUCAUGCCUAGGUGUUUUUUUAGAAAGAGUAAUUCGGUGUGCUAAACUUCCGCUAUGCGCGGGAUUCGAGGAAGGGCCGGACCAUAAGAGUCUAUUGUACGCAGUUUUACCUUGUAUUUCUGCAAGAGGCUAUUUUUACGACUCGAACUCAUGACCUCCUGGUCAUAUGACAACAACUUUACCAGUUACGCCUAGUUAUUUUUAAUGAACCAUAAAUCAAGCUCAAAGGUGUUUUUAAUGAUCCAAUAAAUCAAGUUCAAAAUUUUCCACAAUAUAAGAUGAAUGUGGUAUGCUUCACAUAGUUUAAUACUUCCUUCCAACUUUGUUGGAUUUCAUUAAAAGAAUAUCAUUUUUGUGUAUUCUUAGGAAGAAAAGUAGUUGCAUAGUUUCCUUACCAAAUAAAGCUUGUCAUAUCAUCAUUUAAUUUCCUUGAUAUUUUGAUAUCACUAUCAACUAUUCCUAAAUUCUAAAGCGUUUGGACAUAGAUUUGAUUAAAACUUGAAAAAAUAAUUUUUGAAGUUGUGUUGAAAAAUAAUUUUUGAUAGUUAAAGUGAUGUUUGGACAUGUAUUUUAUUUUUAAAAAAGUUAAAGUUUUGUGAGUGGAAGAAAAACUUUCACCCAAAAACUGCCUUAAAUCAAUUUUUAAAAAUUUGAAAAUAUGAAUUUUUCCCCCAAAACAUGAUCAUAUUUCAUAAACAAAUAAUAUUUUUAAAAAUAUUUUAAAAAGUAAAGACAAAAUCUAUAGCCAAACGGGAGGUAAGUAACUUUUGGCUAUGCUAGCAACAAAUUCCAGUUGUUGCAGAACAGUACUUGGUAGGUAGAAUUUUAAUUUGUGAAUUUGGUAUAUUUCUUUGGUUGUACAAAAAAAUUCAAUUCCCUCAAUGACUGGCUUUUAUUGUUCUGUUGCAAGGAAAAAACGAAGUCUUUAUCUAAAGAAAUGCGUCGAAAAAAAGCAGAUGUACAGAAUCUUUCGACGAAACAGUGUUUUCUCAACAAAGUGUCCUCUCAUUUUGUUGAGCAGCCAGUGAUGUUAACAUUUAAAAAAUAAUAAAUAUAUUAAUAUUUUCAGUUUGCUUAUUAUCUAUAUAUAUAUAUAUAUAUAUAUUGUGAGCACGUGAUAUUUGUCUUAUGUAAAAUACUCCUACAAAUUAAAGAAGUAAAUUUUCAAUUAUUUGCAAUUUUGUAGAAUUUUGUGUUAAUUGCUUGCAUUUUUGUGCACGUUUAAUUUUUAUUAAAAUUAUGGAAAAACGUCAAAAAUAUACCAUGCAUUGCAUUCAGGUUUUGUUUUUAUAUUUUUAGGAUUAAUUAGUUAAUAAUUUAUUUUAUUAAAAAAAUAAAAAUCACAAAAAUGGCUCAUUUUACAUUUUUAGAUUACUGAUUUUUCUUUUUUUAAUUUAGGAUCAAGUAAUUCUAUAAUUUUUGUAAUUAGAUAAUUAGUUUAGUUUACAAUUUAUAUUAAUUUAGGAUUUUUAAUAAUUAAAAAAAAGUAAAAGAAAAGAGAUAAAAAAGAAAAAAGGGAGUUUGAGAAUAAAGGGCUCCUGGGCCAAAAUUGCUGAAGCCCAAACCAUUUUCACCCCAAACCCGCCCCAAAUCCGAGCCCAAGAACCAAAUACCCGGUCCAGGUCUUCCUCCACCACUAAACGACCCCGUUUUACCCCUGUCUUAUCACAACCGUUGGAUUCUUUUGAUCCAAUGGUUCGGAACUAGGAAAUCACUUAGUAUAUAGCUGUCUGAAAGCCUCCCCCUCAUUCGAACCCCAACCCUAACCCUCAUCUCUCUCAAACGAACCCUAGAGACGUCGCCCCAAAAUCCCUACCGUCUCUGCCGUCAACCACCCGCCGGAAAUCGCCUACGGCGGCGGCGACACCCCAAACACCCCCAAAUUAACACCAUAUAACCUCUUUCCCCUUUCUGUUCCAGAUCUACAAGCCUUUUCUCCAAAAUCCCCACCCAAAUCAUCGAAUCUUAGAUCCAAAGUCAGGUUCUAAACCCUAAUCCCUUCAAAUCGGUCCAAAAUUUCAACAGGCUACCCCUGUACCCUCCUCUCCUUAAAUACCUCACUGAUUUUUCCAAAUAACCCCGCAAAACUCUGGAAUUACAAAUCUAAGAAAGGGGUUUUCUGUUUUUGUCGAGUCUGAGUUCCGUGCUUUUUCUUUUUCAAAGGUUUGACUUUCAGAAGUCUUUUCUUUCAAGGAGAUCCAGUCAAAGCCAUGCAAGACCGGAUCCCUUGAAGGAAAAGACCUCUGUUGGUCAACCGGGAUGAAACAGACCUAAAAAGAACUAUUGACUCUUCUUGGCAAGGUAUCAUUCACCUUUCCACCUUCUUUAUCUCUUCUUCAAGUUUUAGACUAUGUUCUUUUUUAUUUUUGUUUUCUUUCAUUUUUUGUUAAUUUGUUCAUUCUUCAUCUGUUUAAAAAAAAUCUUGCUUGUUUCAGUCUUUAGACUUGUUUAAUCAGUAGUUUUAGGGUUCAUUAGCUAAGCAUAUUUACCUAAAUUACUAAUUGAUCAGUUUGUUAUUUUAGGGUUUGUCGAUAUUGGUUUAGUUUGGAUAAUUUCGGAUCAGUAGGUUAGUUUCCUUGCAUUGAUCAUGUUGUACUGAUGUAAUAAUAUUGAUAGGAUGGUUUAGUCCUUAGAGAAUGGCUCAUUAUUCUGGAUUCAUGCUAGUAUUAGGUUCAAAUGUGUAUGUGUUGUGUCAUCUCUGAUUUCAGUUCAAUGAUAAAGGAAUUUAAGUUUAAUUAAAGGCUUAAUUGAAUUAGAAUUUGGCUCCAUUUGAUCUUCCUUGUUUUAAUUCAGAUUUUUAUUUUUGUUUGCCUUAGUCUGUAAAUCAUUAGAAUUUCUAGGGGUUUAAUUGCACAACUAGAAACUUAGGGUUUAAGUGGGGAAAUAAAACAAGGACUUUCAGAUAAUUUUCACAUUAGGAAGGCUCUAGAAUAGGGGCAGCUGGUCUCGUUUGGUUUGCACAAAAUGCAUAAGCCAAUGAGGGACAACCAGUUGUCCCAAUUCUGUUAGAAAAAUGCUUUUUCAAGCUGAAGGGAAUAUUUCCUAAUUGGUUAUUCAACACAUGGCUUUGGAGGCUUAUAAGUAGUACCCUUCUUUCAUACAAAAAUCAGAGACUAAGAUAGAUUUUUAUUCCCUGAAAAUUAUCAAAAGGUUCUCUACACUCUUAUUAUCAAAGUUGGCUCAAAUUGCCUCUAAUCUUUCUUUUAGAACUUUAAAGUCUUUUCAUGAGGAUUUCUAGUUUUCUCCAAGCUGAAAAUAGUUGAUCACAGAAGCUGCUUGGUUCUGUUUGUUGUUUACUGCUGCUGGUCCUUCUUUAUUGAUUCACUUUAGCUGAUUUUGAGAUUUUCUUUCCCUUUUGUUGUAUCCAGAUACUAUCACAACUGCAAAAAUAUGGCUAUAAUAUGCUGAUUGGAAAGUGAAACUCCAGAUCCGUUGUUGUUCAAUGACUUUUUCCUUGUUUUUCUUUUACUCGUAGUUUUCUGUUCAUUUUUGAAAUGUUUGGCUUAAAUUUGAUGUUCACCUCUAGGCAGUUAGUCAUGGCGUUUGAAUGUUGAAAGUUAGAGUUAAUUUUAGUUGUUGUUUUUUGCAUUUUGGCUAGGUAGCUUCAGUUAUACCUUAAUUGUAAUACGUGGGACUGUAUUAAAUUGUUGUCUGUGAGUUGCCAUAUGAGUUCAGGUGAUUGAACACCUUCAGCAUGCUCGCCAUUAAUUCUGUAAAUAUGAAUGCAUGUUUAUAGUUGGGAUUAGUCAUGAAUGAAUCCAUGUUAGUAAGCCAUAUGUGUUGAAAUCAUGUUUACGUUUGGUUAAAGUUAGGAAUAUUAUUAUCUUAUGACAGUGAUAAAGAAUGAAUUAUGUGCAGGCUGCUAUGAUUCUAAGUGUUGUAUCAUUAAUAUAGUAACAUGAUUUGGUCUCAGGAUAUGCUUUUUAAUCUAGUUAAAAUUUACAAGUGAUUUGGGUUGUAAUAGGGUAAGAGGACUGUUGAGUUUCGAAUAAUGCCUGAUAUGGGCUCAAAUCGAGACAGCCCAGUCACGUUUCAAGCUAGGGCACUUCAGCCUUAGCUUCAUUGUUUCGUUUUUUCUUUAUUUUUGGUUUAAAUGCAUUGUUUGAUCUUAGGAUGUUCAUGUAACGAAGUUCACUUCAAAUAAUAAAAAUAAGUCGUACAAUAGGGCUUUGUCUUUAAGAACUGGGCUUUGUAGUUGGCCCAGUUGAACCCCGAUGCCUGCUAUUGACUCAUCUUCAAUUCUGGGCCUCACCUCGAGCCCAGUUUCCCUCUUAGGACUUAUGGGAGUUUCUGGGCUUAUUGCAAGCCUGGAACCUACCCCAAAUAGUUAACUAUUUAAGUAUAUUACCCCAUGUAGGCUUGUUUUGAGUAGCUCUAGAUUGAAUUUUAAUUUAGAUGAAAAUCCAAACAUCUUUAGAUGGCUAUAGUUAAGUAUGAUUUCUUAAAAAAAUGGAUUGAGGUGUGACAUCCAUAAUUAGACCACUCAUGGCCCUCACAAAUAUUAUGACUUGGUUACUAAAAAUGAAUUUCAUAGUUUGCUUUAGGUGCGUUAAUUAAAUAUUUAUCAUGACUACGGGUACGGUUCCCGUGAUGUAGUUGUGAUUUGUAAUUGCUAAAAUUCGGGUGUACAUUUCAUGUGACCCGGCUCCAAUUCUCAAUAAGGUUAAAUAAAAUGUGUCAUGAAUCGCAGGUGCAUUUCAUGUAGCGUGGCUUACGAUGUGCUUUAAAUAACCUUGAAUUUUUCCUAAAAUAUUAAAAGCGGUUAGAAAGUUAAUAAUGCACGUAGAUUUAAAAUAUGUAAUUAAUUAGAUAAUUAGGCCAAUAUAAUAGUUGAGCGACCGUGCUAGAACCACGAAACUCGGAAAUGCCUAACACCUUCUUCCGGGUUAAUAGAAUUCCUUACCCGGAUUUUUGUAUUUCGCGGACCAUAAAUAGAGUCUUUUCCUUAAUUCGGAAUUUUAAACCGGUGACUUGGAACACCAUAUAAUUAUCCCAAGUGGCGACCCUGAACUUAAAAAAAAUAAUCCCAUUUCGAUUGUCACUUAAAUUGGAAAAAACUCCCUUAUAUCCCUUUCGGGGGUAGAAAAAGGAGGUGUGACAGCUCUGGUUAAGGCUGUGCAUGGAUUGGAUCGGAUCGGAUUUAGCAUAUUUCGGAUUCGAAUUUCGGAUUUCGGAUUCUGAAAAGGGAAAUCCGAAUCCGAUCUGAAUUAACAUUGGAUCGGAUCGGAUUUUAAACUUUGGAUCGGAUAAUUUUUCGGAUUGUCGAAUCGGAUUGUCACUUAUUGGAGUACUUGUUCGAAGUACAUAAACAAAUGUUGGGAAUUACUUUCCAAAUACAAAUUGAGCAAUCACUUUCCAAAUACUUGUUCGAACUUAACAUUGUUAACAAUGUUCAAUUUACACAACUAACUGAACUGAGUACUCAUAAAAAUUAAUAAUGCAACUGAGUUGAAUUUACACAACUGGGUAACAAUGUUCGAACUAUUUAACAAUGCAAACAAAACAUAAUUUAUAUCCAUUCAUCUCCAGUUCUCCACACAACUGUUACUGGACAGUAAACACCAUUCAUCUCCAAACAAAACCACAAUCUGAAAUUUACAUAAUGCAACAAUUGUCUUUCAAAGUUUCAAACCAAACCAAACUGAUGACCCCAAACAAAACACAAUCAAUUCUCUUUCAAACCAUAUUGUCAUAGCAAAAUAAAACAAACCAAACUACUAAAGUCCCAAUAGUUCUUUAACAUAUUACACAAAACAAAAGAGUUCCAAGUUCCAACUUUUGGGCAGCCACAAUAGUCAACACAAACCAGCAACCAGGCCAAAUGUAGCUCUCAAUCUCAGACUCUCAGUAGGACUGUGAGACAAGUUAAAAAUCUGCAAUUUCAAACAAUUCAAAGAGCAUUUUCAGAGAAAGAAAAAGACAGCUUAAAGCUUCAAGCUAUCUAGAAUUCCAAAUUCCAGAAACAUACAACAAAACAAGGAGCAAGUGUAUAAUAAAAUACCUGAGCUUGUACAACAAAUGGAAAAUCACUAUAUGUCGACAAUGCAAGGCUCUCUUCCCGUAUUCAUAAAUUCUGUAUAAUAAAAUAGUAACACAAGAAAUUAGUUUAGAAGUAAUCUAAAUAAACAUACAAAUAAAGUAUAUAUUAAACACAAGUAAUAAGAUAGGCUUACCAGCUUCAAGUUGUUCAAGAUUAUCUAAAUCUUCUUCAAUUUUAACCGAAGUUGUUGAUUCAUUAUGAAGCCAAUCUUGGACACACACAAGAGCUUGAACCAAUCUAGGAGUCAAUGAACUCCUAAAUGGAUUAAGUAUGCAUCCGCCGGUGCUAAAGGCUGAUUCUGAGGCAACACUAGAAAUCGGAAUGGCUAGCACAUCACGUGCCAUCUCAACAAGAGUGGGAAAUCUAGGUGAGUUCAACUUCCACCACCCCAGAAUGUUAAAUUUUUCAUGGUCUUCCUCAACAUCUUCACCCAAAUAUUUAUCUAACUCCGUUUUAGAAUCAACUCCGCCACAUUUCUUAUGCUUCUUUAAAUCUAGCAUGAAUUUUGAGAGCAAUGAUGAAGAAUAUGGACCAGAACAUGGAGAAGAUGGAGAAGACGGACAUGAACCAGAACCACCAUUUUUCAUUGCAUACACAUUAAACAAAGUAUCCAUGUAUGUUUUCACAUCCUCUUGUAUUUUCAAACCUACUGUUUCUCCAAACAUAGCACCAAGUGCAAAUGAAAGAGUAUUAAACUUAUGGUGUGGAUCAAGCACACAUGAGAUUAAAAUCAUUUUGUUCAUCUUAUGUGGAUCCCCCCAAUACUUGUCAAAUUUCUCUUUCAUAUUCUUUGCCAUUUCUCUCAAGAAAGCAUCUUCAUUUUGCAUCAAUUCUUUCAAAGAAGAAUCAACAACACAUAUUUCAAGAAAGUGCACAUUAGACGUAAUAUAAAGUGUACCUGAUACUUUCAAGGUGAGUUCAUAAAAAAUUUCGAGAAACUUCAAAAUACGUCUUACNNNNNNNNNNNNNNNNNNNNNNNNNUUGUCUUAUGUACCUAACAACUUGUUUUAUUCGUUCAACAUACACACUCACAUCUCUCAACCCAUCUUGAACAACUAGAUUGAUGAUGUGAGCCAUACAUCUCACAUGGACAUGCUUACCUUCCAUCAAGUUAGUGUUCCAUCUAGUAAAUUGUUUGGAUAACUCUCUAACCAUCACAUCAUUGGAACUCGCAUUAUCGACUGUCACAGUAAAUACUUUAUCCGCUCCCCAUUCAAGUAAACACUUACAAUACCACUAGCUAAAUCUUGACCUUUAUGACCAGUAAUUGGACAAAAAUUCAAUAUCCUUUUAUGCAAUUUCCAAUUAUUGUCAAUGUAAUGGGCUGUAACACACAUAUAAUUAAUUCUUUGAAUUGAAGUCCAUGUAUCAGUAGUAAUACAUAUUCUCUGUUUUGAUUCUUUAAGAAUAGACUUCAAAGCAAGUCUCUCUUCAUGGUACAUCUCAAGACAAUCCCUAGACAUAGUAGUACGAGAUGGAAUAUGGAAUAAAGGUUGAAGACUUCUCACAAAGUCUCUAAAUCCAUAUUUUUCUAACAUAAAUAAAGGGAAGUUCAUCUUUAAUAAUCAUACGAGCUAAAGCCCUCCUACAUGCCUCUUGAUCAAAUUUUCAAGGGAUAACUGAAACAUCACCUGUUAGACCUUGCAGUUGAAAAUCUAAUGUUGUCUGGCUACCUUCUGCCUUGUAGGGAUUGGUCGGACAUUUGGGAAUAUGCAAUAACAAAUUGCUUGUGCCGCUAUUCUUGGUAUCAACUACAUAUUCUUCUAAACAAAACUUGCAUCUCGCUUUUUUCACACCCUCGGCAUCAGUGAACUUGUUGAAGUAGCGCCAAGCUAUUGAUCUUUCUUUAACCAUUUUUCUUUUCUUCGAACCAGGUUCAGAUUCACUGUUGUUGGUUGUUGAAUCUGAAUUAGUUGAAGCAUUACUUUCACCAACUUUUUCAACAAUUUGAAGUUCAUUCACUGUCUCUGUCUCGUUUUUCAUCUACCAAAACAAACAAAAAAACCAAAAUAAAAUUAGAAAUAGAAGAAUAGAAAAUGAAAGAGAGAUAAAAAACAGAACAUAAAGACAAAAUCGAUACAUACAUACAAAAAUUGAAAAACAGUAUGAAAAUUCAAAAUAAAGAUGUUGUAAUAUCUCUUUAACACACACACACACACACAAAAGACACAAAAAACACACAUUAUUUGAUUUCUGCCGUGAAACAAAAGGUGGAAAACAUCACAUUUGAGCUCUAAGAGAGAGGGGGAAAAGCAAAAAUGAACCAAUAAUAACUAAUAGUUAGAGAGAAUGCCAGGAUUACCAUCUAUUAGGGUUUUGCGUCGUUUGCUCUUGAUUGGAAAUUGAAUGUGAAAACUUGAGAGUUGAGACUUCGAGAUUAGUUUUCUACUUCGAGUGAACUUGGAGUUCACUGGCUUGAGACUUCGAGAGGACUGAGAUAAAGAGUGAAGACGAAAGGCGGAAGCUUGGUCGGACUGAGAUGAAGAGUGAAGACUUUGAGUUCGAGAAGACUGAGUCACUGAGCUGUGAAGACUGAAGAGAGGCAGAAAAGAGGACUGAACAUCGAUAUAACCUAGGGUCUGUCUGAUAAAUGAAUAAGUAUACCUAACCCUAAAAUUUUAGGGUAGUAUUUAUAUAUAGGCCCAUAUAAUUUCGGAUUUCGGAUCGGAUCGGAUUAAAAUCAUGCCAAUCCGAAUCCAAUCCGAAAAUCCAAAAUUUUAUGAAACAUAAUCUGUAUCCAAUCUGAAAAUCCGAAAUCCGAAAAUCCGAAAUAGAGCAGGUCGGAUCGGAUUUCGGAUAUCCGAUCCAAAUGCACAGCCCUAGCUCUGGUGACUCUGCUGGUGACAAGAACCCAAAACUUCUGGUUCAGGGUUUAGAAUUCGAGCUUAGAAUAACUAUUAUGUUGGCUUUUAUUUAUUAUCUGAUUUUUAUAUGUUUGAGCCUAAUAUGCUAAUUGCCGUUUUUUACCGCUUUGAUAUUGUUUGGACUGUAUGUAAAUUGUUACGAAACCCUCUUCUCUCUAAGUCUUCUAAAUCAUCUGGGAAGGGUGUACUUCGUGUGACUUCUUUUUUGUUAGAUUCAUAUCCCAAUUUUAGAAUGAGGUUCUGACAAGUUGCAAAGCCGGUGAAGCUUCUGUAUUCCCGGUAUGUUCCCCCCCCCCCCCCGGCUCGAGCUCUCCACACGGGUAAGCCUGGUCUAGAACAAUAUACCCAGGUUUUAAACAUAGUCUUAUGCUAGAUCCUUAGUAGGAACGCUUGUUUGCAUCACGUGUAUUUGACUUUGGGGACUCAACACAGGGGUUGGGUCCGUCUAGGACAGGUGUACCCGAAAUCAAAAGACCAUCCUGAUACAUUUUUACUUGCUAGUUGCACAUUUAUUUGAUUUGGAUUACAUGUUGACCGGCUUCUAGAAUAGGGAAGAAAAAUUGAGAAAAACCAAAUUGAGGUAGGAGAGAGGAAAUUACUCGCCUGUAAAAAACUUGGUGUCCAAAAUAUCCCAAAACUCUACCGAAAUUUUUUGAAAAAAAAAGAAGAGCAAAAGCUAUUUCAAAGUGUUUGUGUUUUUCUGUUGCGUCAAAAUUGACCGAACUACGCGGGUUUAAUUCUCACCGGAAGUGGGAUACGUAGGCAACCCUCACCGAGUCCAACUCCUUUUGCAAAAAAACAAUAACCCAAAAAUAUGAAAUGUUGUUAUGCUGACAUAAAUAAAAUUAGGUGAUGUCCUUCUUGUCUAAAUAGCCAAAAUGUCCCCAAAAGGGCGUCAGAAGACUGUUUUUGUAAGAAUUGCCACAUGUGGUCCUUUUUAAAUUUUUUGGCCAAUUAGCGAACACAACCCUAAAAUCUUCUUUCCUGAGGUGCUGAAGGGUCGUAUUUGCAAAGUUGUUUUUGUUUCGAAUUGCAAUUUUGAAAAAAUUGAUAAUCUUCUUUUGAGUCAAAAUAAAUCAUGAUUUUUUUAAUCGAUCACUUUAAAUAAAUGUGCCGGAUGAGAACUAUUGAAAAUAAACCUUUUAAAGUUGUAGAGGAAAUCCCGCUAGAACUUCAUAUGUUGUGGAAUGACUUAGGAAAGGUCAUCAGAGGUGCUGCGAUAAAAACUUUGGGGGGUCUCACUGGUCUUUUGAAGGUUAAACCGAGAUUGGAUAUAAUUGAAGCUUUAAUACCUUUUUGGGACCCAACGCAUAAUGUAUUCCAUUUCUCUGACUUUGAGCUGACUCCUACACUUGAGAAAAUAGCGGGCUAUGCGGGCCUUAGUGGGAAUCUCAAGAGCCGAUACCCAGUGGCACCGAGAGCGGUGACUCCUCACAAGUUUCUCAACCUUCUGAGUAUCAGUCGGGAAGUCAAAAAUGGAAAUUUGGCUGAGGGAUUUUGCACAUUAUACUUCAUGUACCGUCGUUAUGGAGAUCCCCGCGGUUUUGAGGCUCCGGAUACUAGUCUAACUCAUUCAGGGAAUAAAUAAAAAUGGGAAGCACAUCGGGGACUGGCCUUUAUAGUGGCAUUCUUGGGUUCCUUAAUCUGCACAAGGAAGGAUGGACAUAUAGAGUUGGGGCUCGUAGGAAUGGCCGACUUCAUGAUUAAAAAGGCUAAUGGCACUAUUGUACCGAUGAUCCUAGAAGAGAUUUACCGAGCUCUAACUGUUUGCCGAGCGGGGGGAAACUUUUUGAGGGUUGCACAUGCUUUUACAACUUUGGAUGGAAGAACACCUUUUGCCAUCGUCCGGGGUAAUGAACUAUGGUAUGACCGAUCUUAAAUGCAUUGAAGAACAUGAAAACUGGGUAGAGGGUCAUGAGUUUCCAGAAGGUACGGAGGCAUGGUUCGCACAUUUGAGUUCUUUGACUGCAAGCAAAAUUGAGUGGACAUUCGGUUGGCUCCCGGUCAUUAAAGUCAUUUAUAUGUUGGCCGAAGUGUGUUUUCUUCUAUUAAUUGGUCUCCAACGUAUUCAGCCAUAUGCUCCACACAGGGUUCUGCGCCAGCUAGGCAAGUACCAAACUGUCACAGACUCAGGUACAUGAUUUGUCCAAAGGCGAGUUAGAUCCUAGUUAUACGGCCUGGUAUGGUAAAAGGUCUCAAGUCCAUCAGGAACCCAAACAACCUGCCAAAAGGCCCCAUGUCCAAUAGUUCACUGAUGCGGCGCAGGAGCAAUGAGGUUGGUUGGCAAAAGAGACAAGCUACAGGGCCACAAUAAGCAAAUUGGAGGGACAAAUCAGAGAUCUUAAAUUUGAUAGCAGUGUACAGGAUGCUGCUGAUGAAGGGGAGAAUAAAAAGUUGGCCCAAAAAAACAAAGCCCUUCGAGCCCAGAUCCAAAAAAUGAAGAUAGCUGCUGAGAAUCAGGAAAGGAACCGAACGGAUGAAAGACUCAUAAAGGGUCUUAAGAAGAAAGUAUGUGAGUGCGAGAAUGAUUUGGAAAAAUCUAAAGGUAGUCUGGCAAGAGCUCGGGCACAGUUGGCAAAGAACGCAGAGGGUCGAGCAGAGUUUGUUCGGCAGUUGAAAAGGAAAUAUGAUAGAGAAGUCGCGAACCUGAAGAAAAAGCUAACUACUCUCGAGGACAAAAUGGCCAAGAAGGCAAGAGACUUCAAAGCAGAAAGAGAACACUUAUAUGCCCUAAUGUCGCAGUUAGAAAAAGACCUGCAAUAACUUUAAGAGCAAAAUCAUACAACCGAACAAGUUUUGGGGUCCAGAUCACAGCAGAUCGGACGGUUGCUACAAAGGAAGGGUAUUAUCAGGGAGAGGGUUAGGAGGAUUGCGGACUACAUUGUGAUGAAGUGCAACGAAUGCAAGGACAUGACCAGGUCCAUGUUCUUCGCUUCAGUUAUGAUUUUUGUCCGACAGAUCAUGGAUGACCUAUUUCACCUCUAAGAAGAUAUGGCGCAUAGGCCCGCGGCGAGACCGACUGAUGUCCCGUGGCCCCCUAGAGCAACAGUUGAGGCACUCAUGUAUUUCUGAUUUUAUUGUUCGAGUCUGUAUUCUCAGUUUUUUUGGAGUUCAUUAGUCCACUUCGAGUUCGUAUUUUCAUUUUUCUUUUGGAGUCCGUUAGUCCACCUUUCGAGUCUGUUAGUUUUUAUGUUUAAUUCUGUAGGAGAAGUCGUUGUAAUCAGGAUGUUUUUGUUUUUAUUUUAUUUUAUGAAAAUUUGAAAACCCAAAAAAUGUAUUUUUCUUUUAUUUUGCAUUUAUCCCCUGAACUACGUAAUGAUUUGAUUCAUGCAGCAUCAUGAUACGUAGGAAAUCCCCAUAGGAUUCGAUCAUAACCAUAAAAUGAAAAGGAAAAAGAGGAGAGAAAAUAAAAGAAAACUGAGGGGAAAGAAAUGAUGGCAAAAUGAGAGAGAAAAGCGAGUGCAAAAUAAAAAGGGAAGUAACAAAAUCAAGUGGGAAAGUCCAAUAGUGAUUAAAGAGGGAUUGGAGUAAAAAGAAAAAAAAGAGAAAGCACAAAAUGAGAAGAGUUAGUUAAAAGCCGGGAUGAAGCAUGCAGCCGUUCAAAUACACGAUAGAAGCUUUAACUGUUUCGGUGCAUUGCAUCCCAAAUAUGCGGUUGCCUAUCUGUUAAAUCUUAAACACUAACAAAUUGUUGUUGUCAUUGAGAACAUGAAGGUGGUUAGUUUGUUUGACAUUCUAAAAAUCCAUCCGUACAACACCAGGUCUAAAAACAAGUUGAUCAUGGCUGGCCAAGAACUGGACGCAAGUAUUAUUGAUCCACCGAAAGAGAUGGAGGAGCCAAAGGUUGGUUUGAAAGAGGAGUUACAUAAGUUGAAAAACCAUAUGUCCGAAAUGUACCAUGCAUGGAUGAAAGGGCAUCCACUACCAUCAUACCCCGCCAACCCUGCUUUCAUCCUGCCACUAGCUCAAUCCCAAGAACCUCCCACUGUUGAUUCAUCUCCACAACAUGCACCAAGCUUCACCCCAUACUACCACUAUUAUGGCACCACUUCCUAAACCAUACAAGCUUCACCAGCCAAAGCAACCCCAUACCCCCCACCAGCUACCCCUGUUUUCGUACCACCUCCACCAGCUACACUCCAUCGAUCUUCUAGUGAGCCAUUAUUCCAGACUCAAGAUAAUAGGGCUGCUUAUCGAGUGGAUUAGGCGGUUAUUUUCUCUUAAUAGUUUGGUUUAUCGGUUAUCGGCUUUUAAAUAUAUUAAUCCGCUAGCCACCCGAUAAGAUAUCGGGAGGAUUGAUAUCGGUUUAGCUCUUAUCGGGCUGUUUAUCGUCCUAAUUCAAUCAAAAUAAAAUAAAAUUUACUCUUUGUAUGUUUAAAUAGGUGGUCGAUGUACUAAGAGGGACGAAGCAGAAGAGACACCGUGAUGGGUAAAUCAUCUGUCUAGAAUCUUAUUUAUGUUUAUGCACAUUGGCCUUAGUCCAUGUGAAAGAUUUCUUGGUGUACUAAUAUUAUGAUAAGAAGUGGGCAUACUGUAUAUUUUAACAGGUCAUCUGCUUGGACAGAAUUGCUAAGCCAAGAGUUCUGUUAGUUAGAACUUACAAAGAUAUUUGCCCAAGAUAAGAAAAAACAAAUGUAAUUUUAGGUGAAAGUGAAAAUUAGCAUCUCUAAUUUAUAGACGUAGAAGUCACAGAAAUAAUUUUGUGUCAAUUAGUACAAAAUCAUACAUUAAAAUCUUAAUCCUAUUGUAUAGAACAGAAAUAAAACAUAUAAAAAGUUACUACAUGACGACUAUAUAUAAAAUGAAUAUGAAGAGAUUUCUUUACGAAUCAAACAAUGUAGGAUCACAAAAAGUUUAUAAAAUUAUUACCUAAUAAUAAUUCAAAACAAUUGAAAAGAAAAUCGUGUGUCUUGAUAUUAUGUUAAAUAAGACAGAAGUUAUUAGUGCAUAUAAACCUUAAUACUCGAAAACGGUGAAGAGGAGAAAUAUGAGUUUGAAACAGUUAUCAAUUUGAACCGGGAACGAUUUCAAAUUCCUGGUGGAUUGACAAAAUUCAAGUAGGCAGAAGUUUAGUUGAAUUAAAACGUCGAAAAUAGUUGGUAAAGUUCAAUAUUACAAUUGUAUCCAACAUAAAUCAUCUCGUUGAAGGAAUUUAGGCUUGUAAGGGCAUAAAAACCGAUUAAUGUUUUGAGGAUAUUUUUAUCGAUCAACAUUUAGCGUGGAACAUUCGUACUUUUAUAAUAAUAUAGAUAGAUAUGGAUAAAAUAAAUUUUGUAUAUAUAUAUAUAUAUAUAUAUAUAUUUUAACGAGUUAAUGGAUUAUCCGUUAAGAAAAUUGAAUAAUCCGCCCCCCAAACCGAUAAGCCGCUAAUAAAAAAAAUUCAAUACGUUCUCCGUCCGUUAAACUGUUAACCCGAUACUAAUAAGCCAUUAAGCUUCGAUUUUGGUUCGGUUUUCGGUUUCGGUUCGGUUUUGAACACCCCUACAGUACUAUCCCCAGAGCCUACUUUCAAGGCCCCAGAUCAUUACUCAUACACUCCUCGUUUCGACCUCCUUGUUGAGAUUGAGAAACCACCUAAAAACCCGGAACAUGAGGAGAUGUUUAGGAAGGUGAGAAGCCUGGAACAAUCGCUGAGAAACAUGUAAGGGUUGGGAGGUCAAGUAAGUGUAGCCUACAAAGAUAUGUGUUUGUUCCCUGACAUACAACUACCUAUUGGGUUCAAAAUGCCCAAAUUUGACUUGUAUGACGGACACGGAGAUCUUGUGGCCCACUUAAGGGGAUUCUACAGUAAAAUGAGAGGAGCCGGUGGGAAAGAUGAGCUGUUAAUGGCAUACUUUAGCUAGAGACUGAGUGGUGCGGCAUUGGAGUGGUACACUCGUCAGGAUCACAACAGAUGGUAUACCUGGGGUGAUUUGGCCCAAGCAUUCGCUCGUCAUUUCAAAUACAACAUCGAGAUUGUUCCAGAUCAUUUCUCUUUGACUAAGAUUGAAAAGAAGCCUAGUGAAAAAUUCAGAGAAUAUGGUUUCCGCUGGAGAGAACAGGCAGUAAGGGUUAACCCUCCAAUGGAGGAGAACGAAAUGGUGGAAUAAUUUCUUCAGGCCUUGGAGCCUGCUUACUUUGGUCAUCUGAUCUCGGUCAUAGGUAAGUCUUUCAAUGAAGUAGUAAAAAUGGGAGGAAUUGUAGAGGAAGGGCUCAAAUCAAGCAAGAUCAUGAGCUACUCUGCCAUCAAAGAAACUACGUAGGCAAUCCAAAAUGGCACCGGAGGCAUGCUUGGGAAACGCUACAGUCGUUUCAGGAUUGUGGCACGGCCCGGGGGAUUCUCCUACCCACUACACCCAACCUCGACCCUAGUUUCAAACCUAUACCCCAAUUCCAUAUAAUCAAUCCCAAAACUACUUCCCUCUCCCCCUACCAGAGCCUCAGUACUCAGUCAUGCCACCCCAAUAUCAUGUCCAUCAUGCGCAGUGAUAUGCUCAACCCCCUCCUCACCCGCAAUGGCAUGUCCCAGCUCCACGAAACCCUUACCCACCUCCACAAAUAUAGGAAAUUUCGGGUAAAGCCAGAAUUUAGGAAUGAAAGGUGCAGCAGAAGAAAACUUUAACCCCACUUGGGGAAUCUUAUACCAACCUAUUUCAAAGGUUGAGGCAGUCGGAUGUUCUGAGGCCAAUUGAGUCGAAACUACCAAACCCCCCUCUAAAGAACCUGGAUUAUUAUCUCCGAUGUGCAUACUGUUCUGAUACUCUGGCGCACGACACAAAAAAAUGUUGGCAUUUGAAUAACGCCAUCCAAGAGCUCAUUGAUACAAACCAAAUUGUGGUCUAGAGCCCAGAAGCACCCAACAUCAACCAGAACCUAUUGUCAGCCCAUGCUGAAACGCACAUGAUUGAGAUAGUGCACAAAGAUGGGAAGCCCAAGAAGCCUUCACAAUCUGUCAUGAUGAUCUGGUCUAGUGAAAGCAGGUCAAUCAAGGACUCGAUUAUCACAAAAGCAACCUCUUUGAUAGCUGAAGGAUUGGCAGACAAGUUGAGCAUGCCAAAUGAUAAGCCAGUUGUGGUAAUUGAAAAGAGGUCUCCAAGUGAUGUUGUAGCAAAGUAAGAAAAGCCAAAGGUGAUCGUACCGGGAGUAGAAAGUAAGUCGGUCAUAAUUGUGGAGUAUGCUCGCACGGACCCUAUCAUUAUCAAACCAGUGACCCAGCUGCCGGUAGCUAACACCAGGAUUGUCCCCUGGAAUUAUGAGCGAGUGAUAGUGACCUAUAAGGGGAAGGAAGUGAAAGAAGAAGUCAAUGAGGCCUAGGGUUUAACUCGUUCGGGGAGAUGCUUUGCCACAGAAGAGUUAAGGAAAGCUAAAACACUUAGAGACAAUCCAGUUCUAGUGAAAAACCCGGUCACUGAAGAAGAGGCGAAGGAUUUUUUGAGAAAAAUGAAGGUACAAAAUUACUCCAUCAUGGAAUAAGUGAGAAAGACCCCUUCCCAGAUUUCCCUGCUAUCAUUGUUGAUCUAUUCAGAUGAGCACCGCCGGGCUCUAAUGAAGAUUCUGAACGAAGCUCAUGUCCCCAACAAAAUCACAGUGAACCAUUAGGAGAAGAUUGCCAAUAAGAUAUUUGAGUCUAACAGGAUCACAUUCUCGGAUGAUGAUUUGCCUCUGGAGGGUACGGAACACAAUCGAGCCCUCUAUCUCACAGUGAAAUGCGAAGAUUCUGUGGUCACAAGGGUGCUAAUUGACAAUGGUUCCAGUGCAAACAUCUGCCCUCUCUCUAUUCUGAACAAGUUAAAAGUUGAUGACGAGAGGAUUCACAAGAACAGCUUAUGCAUCCGAGGUUUUGAUGGAGGGGGAAAAGACUCUAUUGGCAACAUCAUGCUCAAGUUGACAAUAGGACCAGUCGAAUUCACCAUGGAGUUUCAGGUCCUAGAUGUGGCUGUUUUUUACAAUUUGCUGUUGGGUAGGCCUUGGAUACAUGUUACCAAGGCGGUUCCGUCUUCUCUGCAUCAGAUGGUGAAGUUCGAAUGGGAUAGAUAAGAAAUCGUUAUGCAUGGCGAUGCGAAUUUAUGUGCUUUCAAUGAUACAUCCAUCCUAUUUAUUGAAGAAGAUAAGGGGUCGUGGGUCUAUCAAGUUUCCAAAACGGUGUCAGUUGAAAAGUAUCCAGAAGGGGAAUAUAUCUCGGGUCCAAAGUUAGCUUCUGCAACCGUCAUGGUAGCAACCGAGAUGUUGAAAAAUGGUUUUGUGCCAGGCAAGGGUCUGGGUGCAUCUCUGUAAGGUAUCGCGCAGCCAAUGUCCUUGCGUGAAAAUCUAGGUACAUUUGGUCUGGGGUUCAAGCAUAUAGGGGAUGAUGUGAAUAAGGCUAGAAAGCUAAAAAAGAAGGCAUGGUCGCUCUCUAAGCCAGUCCCACGUCUCUCCAGGUCUUUCAUCAAGGCAGAGGUCUUGAAGCAUCCAGUAACAACAGUUCCUGAGCCUGUGGUUGAUUUUGAUGAAGAAUUGGUUAAAAGGUUCCAGAGUCUAUUUGAUGAAGUGAACAUGGUAGAAAUCGGGGAAGGUUCCAGCAAAGCGGAUGUGCAGUUUAUUGGGCCAAAAGUGAAGCUUAACAAUUGGGAUGCUACUUUUCUCCCUACCCGGAAGGAGUUUUGGUAGUUUGCUUUGUUUUCCUUUCAGUUAUUUGGAUUAUUCCAGGGUUGUAUUUCAGAUUUUUAUUUUCCGUUUGUUUUGAUGUACAAACCCUUCUAUCCUUUAUUUUCAAUGAAAUACAAUUUCCCUUUUCCAUUACUCCUGAUAGUGUCAUUUUCUUUUCUUUCUUUGUAUAGUUCUUCUUAUGCCGGUUUCAAUGACAUGACAUGCAUGAGGAAUCUUCAGCCAAGUCUUAAAAGCCAAUCUAACUCUGAAAUAAUAACCCAAGAAAUAGAGUAUGAAGAUGAAAUAGAAUAUGAUGAAGAGGAAGCAUUUGAGGAAAUUAGUAAAGUGCUAAGUCACUUUGAAGAGAAACCCAAGCCUAAUUUGAAUGAAACUAAAGCAAUCAAUUUAGGGGAUCCAGAUAAAAUCAGGAAAACUAAGAUAAGUGUACACUUGGAACCACAAAUCAAGGAGGAAAUAAUCAAAGUACUGUAUAAUCAAAGCACUGUUUGAAUAUAAAUAUUUUUUUGAAUGGUCAUAUGAUGACAUGCCGGGUCUAAGUACUGACUUGGUGGUUCACAAAUUGCCCACUGACCCGGCAUUCCCUCCCGUCAAGCAGAAGUUAAGGAAGUUCAAAACUGACAUGAGUGUGAAGAUCAAGGAAGAAAUCACAAAGCACUUGAACGCAAAGGUCAUUUGAGUCACGCGAUACCCCACUUGGUUAGCUAAUGUUGUGCCAGUGCCAAAGAAGGAAGGCAAGACCAGGGUGUGCGUUGAUUACCGUGAUCUCAACAAAGCAAGUCCAAAUGAUAAUUUUUCAUUACCAAGUAUCCACAUUUUGAUUGACAACUGUGUCAAGCAUGAGAUCAGUUCUUUUGUGGAUUGCUAUGCGGGGUACCACCAGAUCUUGAUGGAUGAGGAGGACGCAGAAAAGACAACAUUCAUCACACCAUGCAUAACUUAUUGCUACCGGAUAAUGUCAUUUGGUUUGAAAAAUGCUGGGGCAAUUUACAUAAGGGCGAUGACUAUUGUGUUCCAUGAUGAUAGACAAGGAGAUUGAGGUUUAUGUGGAUGAUGUGAUCGUAAAGUCAAAGCAACAAGCUGACCAUGUCGUAGAUUUGAGGAAGUUUUUCCAAAGGCUCCAUAGGUAUAAUCUUAAGCUUAACCCUGCCAAGUGUGCAUUUGGUGUUCCAUCUGAAAAACUGUUGGGAUUCAUAGUUAGUCGUCGAGGCAUUGAAUUGGACCUAUCAAAGAUCAAAGCUAUCCAAAAAUUUCCACCUCCAAGGAAAAAGACUGGGGUGAUGAGUCUGCUAGGGCGUUUAAACUACAUCAACAAGUUUGUUGCUCAACUCACAACAACUUGCGAGCCCGUCUUAAGUUGUUGAAGAAGGAAGUUGCGGUUAGAUGGACUGAUGAGUGCUAGGAGGCAUUUUAUAAGAUCAAGGGGUACUUGUCAAACCACCUGUGUUGGUCCCGCCGGAACUUGGGAGGCCUUUAAUUCUUUAUUUGAUAGUCCUAGACAAUUAGUUCGGUUGCGUAUCGGGUCAAUAUAACAUCACUAGCAGGAAGGAGCAAGCCAUCUAUUAUCUCAGCAAGAAGUUCACAUCCUAUGAGGUUAAGUAUACUUCCCUUGAAAGGACAUGUUGUGCCCUGACUUGGGUGGCACAAAAAUUGAAGCAUUACCUGUCAUCCUAUACUACUUACCUCAUUUCUCGCCUGGAUCCUCUAAAGUAUAUGUUUCAGAAGCCUAUGCCCAUAGGAAGACUUGCAAAGUGGCAGAUUUUGCUCAUAGAGUUUGACAUUAUCUAUGUGACUCGGACCGCGAUAAAAGCCCAAGCAUUGGCCGAGAAUCCGGUGGAUGAAGAGUAUGAACCGUUGAGAACAUAUUUUCCCGAUGAAGAGGUGAUGCAUAUUGACGAGGUGGAUCAGGUUAAAUAACCAGGUUGGAAACGUUUCUUUGAUGGAGCCGCUAACAUGAAAGGUGUUGGAAUAGGGGUCGUGCUUAUUUCUGAAACAAGGUAUAACUAUCUUGUUACGGGCCAACUUCGUUUAUAUUGUACCAACAAUAUGGCUGAGUACGAGGCAUGCAUUUUGGGAUUGAGGUUAGCUGUAGAUAUGGGAGUUCAGGAAGUCUUAGUAUUGGGAGACUCGGAUCUUUUGGUGCACCAGAUUCAAGGAGAAUGGGAGACUUGGGAUUUAAAGCUCAUACCGUAUCGACAAUGUUUGCAUGAUCUUUAUCAACGGUUUUGAUCAAUAGAAUUCAAGCAUAUUCCAAGGAUCCAUAAUGAGGUUGUCGAUGCUUUGGCUACCUUGGCGUCAAUGUUGCAUCAUCCGGACAAAGCUUAUGUUGACCCUCUGCAUAUUCAAGUUCGUGAUCAAUAUGCCUAUUGUAAUGUGGUUGAGGAAGAACUUGAUGGUGAACCGUGAUGCCAUGAUAUCAGGGAAUACAUCAGGAUGAGGGUAUAUCCGGUACAAGCCACAGGUGAUCAAAAGAGAACAAUUUGACGUUUGGUUAGUGGAUUUUUCCUGAGUGGGGAAAUCUUAUACAAUAGGACUCCAGAUCUUGGAUUGUUGAGAUGCAUAGAUGCCAAACAAGCCACGGGUAUCAUGACAGAAGUGCAUUUCGGGGUUUGCGGACCACAUAUGAGUGGGUAUGUUCUAGCAAAGAAAAUUCUUCGACCAGGCUAUUACUGGCUCACCAUGGAACGGGAUUGCAUCAGCUUUGUACGCAAGUGUCAUCAGUGCCAGGUACAUGGAUACUUGAUUCAUUCUCCGCCAUCUGAGUUGCAUACAAUGUCCGCAUCGUGGCCCUUUGUUGCUUGGGGCAUGGAUGUCAUUGGACCAAUUGAGCCGGUGUCAUCAAAUGGGCACAGGUUCAUUCUGGUGGCCAUCGAUUAUUUUACUAAGUGAGUUGAAUCUAAGACUUUCAAAUCUGUGACCAAGAAGGUAGUGGUCGAUUUUGUUCAUUCAAAUAUCAUUUGUCGGUUCGGAAUCCCAAAGGUGAUCAUCACAGAUAAUGGUGCUAAUCUUAACAGUCAUUUGAUGAAAGAAGUAUGUUAACGGUUUAAGAUUACGCAUCGAAAUUCCACCCCGUACCGCCCCAAGGCGAAUGGAGCAGUAGAGGCAGCCAACAAGAACAUAAAGAAGAUACUUCGGAAUAUGGUGCAAGGUUCCAGGCAAUGGCGUGAAAAGUUACCUUUUGCUUUGCACUACUGUUCGAACUUCAGUAGGUGCAAAUCCUUAUUCGUUGAUAUAUGGUACUAAAGCAGUGAUACCUGUGGAAGUUGAAAUUCUAUCCCGUCGGAUUGUUGCUAAAGCCGACAUUGAGGAUGACUGGGUCAAAACCCGUUUGGAGCAAUUAAGUUUGAUUGACAAGAAAAGACUAGCAGCAGUGUGUCAUGGCCAGUUAGAUCAAAAGAUCAUGGCAAGAGCAUACAACAAGAAGGUGCGUCCUAGGAAAUUUGAAGUACGUCAGCAGGUGUUGAAACACAUCCUUCCACAUCAACCUGAAGCUAAAGGCAAGUUUGCCCCAAAUUGGCAGGGGACGUUCAUCGUAACGAGAGUGUUGUUCAAUGGUGCUUUGUAUUUAAUAGAUAUAGAAGGCAAAUGUGUAGAUAUGGCUAUCAAUUCUGAUGCGGUCAAAAGAUAUUGUGUAUGAUUUCUUUGGUUUGUCUAAUUAUCGUUUGUACUUAGAGUGUUUUGAAGUUGGAAUGACGAAGGCAUUUUAUUCUGUUAUCUAAACACUUUAUACUUUGUUACCCCUUUGAGCCUUAUUUAUUUCCUUUCAUACUCCUCUUUUGGAAUCAGUAGCAAGUUCAGAAACACGAACACAAAAGGUAAAAAGGGGGGGAGAAGAAAAGAAAAGAAAAAAAGAGAGAGAAAGAAAAAGAAAAAAAGAAAAGUAACAAAAACAAAGCAAUUCCCAUGUCAUGAACUACGUUCUACCUUAUUCCUUUAAAGGAUACGUAGGCAGCCUCAAGGUUCGGUCCCAUCAAAAUAAAUUCAAAAGUCCUUAGGCAAGGAAGAUUGGGGCAGAAGUUGUGGUUUUAUAAAAGAUCUGAUUCCAAAAGUUGUAAUUUUGAACUCAUUCAAGUUGUUUUGAGCCUUUAUAAUAUCCUUUCUCUCCCUAUCCAAAAGUCACAUUAUGGUCCAAAGAAAGACCUUCCGAUCAAUCUUUGAGGAAUGCCAAGUCAGGCGAGCUAGAGGUAUGAGUCAUCAGGGGCAACACUCCUUUCUACACAAGGAAAAUGAAUAAAUGAGAGAGUCCUACUGGUGAAAACCCUUGCGGGCACCGUAGGUCGAUGGAAAGAUGAGAGAAAUUAAAAUGAGAGAGUCUUAUUGGUGAAAACCUUCACGGGCACCAUAAGGCGACAGUGAGUUGAGAGAUGAGCAAAUGAGAGAGGUUUGUUAGUGACUUUGCAGAGAGAUUGGGUCGUGGAAACCUCGGGGCAUAAAGUAUGAAAGCUGAAAGGUGAUCGGUUGAACGGGCUGAGAUGAUUAAUCCGAAAUGCAUGUCAUGAUUAUUGGUGCCAGCUGCCUCACUCAGAUAAGUCUCUUUCCUUUUCUCCCCCAAAUAGUCACCCUGUUUCAAGUCUUCUUCUAUAUUUCUAACUCGAAGUCAUUGCAUUUCAUUUCUUUUGGGUUUAUUUCUCUAAGGCUUUUCCAAUGUCACCCUUGUUUAAGCAAGUAAGAAAGGAUUUCAAAGCUUAUUACCAACUUCUAAAUUGCACAAAGCAAAGUACGGCCAAAGCAUACCAGAAAUAGCAUGAUGCAAAGUGAAAGAUAAGGUAUUAAUGAAAGUUCAAGUGGUCAAGGGGUAGGUGAAUUUUGUGGAAGAUACAGAGGUUCAAAUUGGAAGGAAAGAAAUGUAAAAUAGCGGUUUGAGUGCAGGUCACUCGGGUCAUUCAGGUUCCUGUUGGUUGAAAUUCAGUCAGAAAGUCAAACAAUUCUCGGCCAGUUCAAGGCAGCCAGUCAAAACAAAGCACGGCAGUGAAAGGGCCACCUUCAGCAAGAAUGCCUCAAACUAACCCCCACAUUUUCAAAUUGAUAAAAUUUUCUUUGAUUGAAACAGGGGCAGGAAAUUUUGUUUGUCCCGGAGGAACCCUCUAUGGGGAAAGCAUGUACCGGACAGGUUCAACCAUAAAUCUUUAGGACCCUCCUAGAUAAUGGGAUUUAGUUUAAAAUUUUCAGGGCCCUCCUGGAUAAUGGGAUUUAAUUUUAAAAAGUUCUCAGGACCCUCCUAGAUAAUGGAACUUAGUUGAAUUCCAAGACCUUCAUAGAUAACAAGAUUUAGCACAAGCUCUACCUUUAGAAAAUAUAAGUUGACUUUAAAGCUUCCACUCUUAAGAUGAGAUUCAAUUUGAAGUUUUCAGGACCCUUCUGAUUAAUGGAAUUUUAGUUUUUAAAUUCUUAGAGAUUUUGGGUAACAUGAUUCGGUUAACACUCACAGAUGUGCCCAGAUACCAAACUGGGGCAGAAAGUUUCUUUGUUUGUCUGUUUUGUUGUAAUCAGGUGCCCACCUGGAGAACAAGGGAAUACAUCUCAAGUUUCGGCAAUCAGGUGCCCACCUGGAGAACAAAGGAAUACAUUUCAAGUUUUGGCAAUCAGGCGCCCACUUGGAGAACAAGGGAAUACAUUUCAAGUUUUGGCAAUCAGGCGCCCACCUAGAGAACAAGGGAAUACAAUUUAAGUUUUCGGCAAUCAGGUGCCUACCUGGAGAACAAGGGAAUGCAAUUCAAGUUUUGGUAAUCAGGCACCCACCUGGAGAACAAGGGAAUACGAUUNNNNNNNNNNNNNNNNNNNNNNNNNNNNNNNNNNNNNNNNNNNNNNNNNNNNNNNNNNNNNNNNNNNNNNNNNNNNNNNNNNNNNNNNNNNNNNNNNNNNNNNNNNNNNNNNNNNNNNNNNNNNNNNNNNNNNNNNNNNNNNNNNNNNNNNNNNNNNNNNNNNNNNNNNNNNNNNNNNNNNNNNNNNNNNNNNNNNNNNNNNNNNNNNNNNNNNNNNNNNNNNNNNNNNNNNNNNNNNNNNNNNNNNNNNNNNNNNNNNNNNNNNNNNNNNNNNNNNNNNNNNNNNNNNNNNNNNNNNNNNNNNNNNNNNNNNNNNNNNNNNNNNNNNNNNNNNNNNNNNNNNNNNNNNNNNNNNNNNNNNNNNNNNNNNNNNNNNNNNNNNNNNNNNNNNNNNNNNNNNNNNNNNNNNNNNNNNNNNNNNNNNNNNNNNNNNNNNNNNNNNNNNNNNNNNNNNNNNNNNNNNNNNNNNNNNNNNNNNNNNNNNNNNNNNNNNNNNNNNNNNNNNNNNNNNNNNNNNNNNNNNNNNNNNNNNNNNNNNNNNNNNNNNNNNNNNNNNNNNNNNNNNNNNNNNNNNNNNNNNNNNNNNNNNNNNNNNNNNNNNNNNNNNUACAGUUUAAGUUUUUGGCAAGCAGGCGCCCACCUGGAGAACAGGGAAUGCAAUUCAAGUUUUGGUAAUCAGGCGCCCACCUGGAGAACAAGGGAAUACGAUUCAAGUUUUGGCCAUCAGGCGCCCACCUGGAGAACAAGGGAACGCAUUUCAAAUUUCGGCAAUUAGGCACCCACCUGGAAAUAAGGGAACCCGUUUCAAAAUUCAACUCACGUUAGCAACAACAGAAAUUCGCCUCGAAAAUACAGGUUAACAGUUCAAGAUGCACAACAGAACGGUAGAAGUAGCAAGACCAAGUUUGAAGAUGGUAGAUAGGAUUUUUGUAAUUCAUAGAUCAUAGUUUAGCCUAACUUCUUUUUAUUUCGUCUCGGUGUAAUAAGGAGUUCAGUAAGCAGUAGCAGCAGCAACAACAGUGAAAUUACAGCUUCCCGGUAGUCCCAGCUACUGAAACUUCCCGAACUACACUGACCUGAUUUAUUUAUAGCCAAGAAUAUGUAGGCAACUUCUGAAGCAAGGUGCGGUCAGAUCUUUCAAAAAUGCUUCCUACGGAGUAUUCAAACAGAAAAAAAUCGCUUGUAUCCGCUCACUUUAUCUUUGCCCGAAAACUCUUCGUGUUUCCAAGCAAAGAGGGGCAGUUGUGAGCACAUGAUUUUUGCCCUAUGUGAAAUACUCCUACAAAUUAAAGAAGUAAAUUUUCCAAUUAUUUGCAAUUUUGUAGGAUUUUGUGUUAAUUGCUUGCAUUUUUGUGCACGUUUAAUUUUUAUUAAAAUCAUGAAAAAAAACGUCAAAAUAUACCAUGCAUUGCAUUCAGGUUUUAUUUUUACAUUUUUAGGAUUAAUUAGUUAAUUAUUUAUUUUAUUAAAAAAAUAAAAAUCACAAAAAUGGCUCAUUUUACAUUUUUAGAUUAUUGAUAUUUCUCUUUUAAUUUAGGAUCAUGUAAUUCUAUAAUUUUUGUAAUUAGAUAAUUAGUUUAGUUUUACAAUUUAGAUUAAUUUAGGAAUUUUAAUAAUAAUAAAUAAAAAAAAGGGAUAAAAAAGAAAAAGGGAAUUUGAGAACAAAGGGCUGUUGGGCCAAAAUUGCUGAAGCCCAAACCAUUUUCGCCCCAAACCCACCACAAAAUCCGAGCCCAAGAACCAAAUACCUGGUCCAGGUCUUCCCCCAACACUAAACAACCUCGUUUUACCCCUAUCUCAUCACAACUGUUGGAUUAUUUUGAUCCAACGGCUCGGAACUAGGCAAUCACUUAGUAUAUAGCUGUUUGAAAGCCUCCCCCUCCCCAUAUUCGAACCCCAACCCUAACCCUCGUCUCUCUCAAACGAACCCUAGAGACGCCGCCCCAAAAUCCCUAUCGUCUCCGCCGUCAACCACCCGCCGAAAAUCGCCCACGGCGGCGGCGUCACCCCAAACACCCCCAGAUUAACACCAUAUAACCUCCUCCCCCUCCCCGUUCCAAAUCUACAAGCCUUUUCUCCAAAAUCCCCACCCAAAUCAUCGAAUCUUAGAUCCAAAGUCAGGUUCUAAACCCUAAUCCCUUCAAAUCGGUCCAAAAUCUCACCAGGCCACCCAUGUACCCUUCUCUGCUUAAAUACCUCACCGAUUUUCCCAAAUAACCUCGCAAAACUCCGAAAUUGCAAAUCUAAGAAAGGGGUUUUCUGUUUUGGUCGAGUCUGAGUUCCGUGCUUUUUCUUUUUCAAAGGUAAGACUUCCAAAAGUCUCUUCUUUCAAGGAGAACCGGUCAAAGCCAUUAAAGACCGGAUCCCUUAAAGGAAAAGACCUAUGUUGGUCAAUCGGGAUGAAACGGACCUAAAAAGAACUGUUGACUCGCUUCUUGGCAAGGUAUCAUUCACCUUUUUGUCUUCUUAUCUCUUCUUCAAGUUUUAGUCUAUGUUAUUUUUGAUUUAUGUUUUCUUUCAUUUUUUGUUAAUCUGUCCAUUCUUUAUCUGUUUAACAAAAAUCUUUCUUGUUUCAGUCUUUAGACUUGUUUAAUCAGUAGUUUUAGGGUUCAUUAGCUAAGCAUUUUUACUGAAUUACUAAUUGAUCAGUUUGUUAUUUUAGGGUUUGUCGAUAUUGGUUUAGUUUGGUUAAUUUCGAAUCAGUAGGUUAGUUUCCUUGCAUUGAUCAUGCUGCACUGAUGUAAUAAUGUUGAUAAGAUGGUUUAGUCCUUAAAGAAUGGUUCAUUAUUCUGGAUUCAUGCUAGUAUUAGGUUCAAAUGUGUAUGUGUUGUGUCAUCUCUGAUUUCAAUUCAAUGAUAAAGGAAUUUAGGUUUAAUUAAAAGCUCAAUUGAAUUAGAAUUUGGCUCUAUUUGAUCUUCCUUGUUUCAAUUCAGAUUUUUAUUUUUAUUUGCCUUAGUCUGUAAAUUAUUAGAAUUUCUAGGGGUUUAAUUGCACAAUUGGAAACUUAGGGUUUAAGCGGGGAAAUAAAACAAGUACUUUCAGAUAAUUUUUACAUUAGGAAGACUCUAGAAUAGGGGCCGCUGGUCUCAUUUGGUUUUCAUAAAAUGCAUAAGCCAAUGUGGGACAACCAGCUGUCCCAAUUCUGUUAGAAAGAUGCCUUUUCAGGCUGAAGGGAAUAUUUCCUAAUUAGUUAUACAGCACAUGGCCUUGGAGGCUUAUAAGUAAUACCCUUCUUUCAUACAAAAAUCAGAGACGAAGAUAGAUUUUCAUUCCCUGAAAAAUACCAAAAGGUUCUCUGCACUCUUAUUAUCAAAGUUGGCUCAAAUUGCCCUCUGAUCUUUCUUUUAGAACUUUAAAGUCUUUUCAUGAGGAUUUCUGAUUUUCUCCAAGCUGAAAAUAGUUGAUCACAGAAGUUGCUUGGUUUUGUUUGCUGUUUACUACUGCUGGUCCUUCUUUAUUGAUUCAUUUUAGUUGAUUCCGAGAUUUUAUUUCCCUUUUGUUGUAUCCAGGUACUAUCACAACUGCAAAAAUAUGGCUAUAAUAUGCUGAUUGGAAAGUGAAACUCCAGAUUCGUUGUUGUUCAAUGGCUUUUUCCUUGUUUUUCUUUUACUCGUAGUUUUCUGUUCAUUUUUGAAAUGUUUGGCUUAAAAUUGAUGUUCACCUCUAGGCAGUUAGUCAUGGCGUUUGAAUGUUGAAAGUUAGAGCUAAUUUUAGUUUUUUUUUUUGCAUUAUGGCUAGGUAGCUUCAUCUAUACCUUAAUUGUAAUAAGUGGGACUGUAUUAAAUUGCUGUUUGUGAGUUGCCAUAUGAGUUCAGGUGACUGAACACCGUCAACAUGCUCGCCACUAAUUCUGUAAAUAUGAAUGCAUGUUUAGAGUUGGGAUUUGACAUGAAUAAAUCCAUGUUAGUAAGCCAUAUAUGUUGAAAUCAUGUUUACGUUUGGUUAAAGUUAGGAUUAUUAUUAUCUUAUGAUAGUGAUAAAGAAUGAAUUAUGUGCAGGCUGCUAUGAUUCUAAGUGUUGUAUAAUUAAUAUAGUAACAUGAUUUGGUCUCAGGAUAUGUCUUUUAAUCUAGUUAAACUUUACAAAUGAUUUGGAUUGUAAUAGGGUACGAGGACUGUUGAGUUUCGAAUGAGGCCUAAUAUGGGCCCAAAUCGAGACAUCCCAGUCACGUUUCAAGCUAGGGCACUUCAGCCUUAGCUUGGUUGUUCGUUUUUUCUUUAUUUCUUUUGGUUUAAAUGCAUUGUUUGAUCUCAGGAUGUUCAUGUAACGAAGUUCGCUUCAAAUAAUUAAAACAAGUCGUACAACAAGGCUUUGUCUUUAAGAACUGGGAUUUGUAGUUGGCCCAGUUGAACCCGAUGCCUCCUACUGAUUCAUCUUCAAUUCUGGGCUUCACCUCGAGCCCAUUUUCCCUCUUAGGACUUAUGGGCGUUUCUGGGCUUAUUGCAAGCCUGGAACCUACCCCAAACAGUUAACUAUUUUAAGUAUAUUAUCCCAUGUAGGCUUAUUUUGAGUAGCUCUAGAUUGAAUUUUAAUUUAGAUGAAAUUCCAAACAUCUUUAGAUGGUUUUAGUUAAGUAUGAUUUCUUUUAAAAAAAUGGAUUGAGGUGUCCCAUCCAUAAUUAGACCACUCAUGGCCCUCACAAAUAUUAUAACUUGGUUACUAAAAAUGAAUUUCGUAGUUUAUUUUAGGCGCGUUAAUUAAACAUUUAUCAUGACUACGGGUAUGGUUCCCGUGACGUAGUUGUGAUUUGUAAUUGCUAAAAUCCGGGUGUACAUUUCAUGUGACCCGGCUCCAAUUCCCAACAAGGUUAAAUAAACGUGUCGUGAACCGUGGGUGCAUUUCAUAUAGCGUGACUUACGAUGUGUUUUAAAUAACCUUGAAGUUUUCCUAAAAUAUUAAAAGCGGUUAGAAAGUUAAAAAUGCACGUAGGUUUAAAAUGUGUAAUUAAUCAGAUAAUUAGGCCAAUAUAAUAGUUGAGCGACCGUGCUACAACCAUGAAAUUCGGAAAUGCCUAAUACCUUCUCCCGGGUUAACAAAAUUCCUUACCCGAAUUUUUGUGUUUCGCGGACCAUAAAUAGAGUAUUUUCCUCGAUUCAGGAUUUUAAACCGGUGACUUGGGACACCAUAUAAUUAUCCCAAGUGGCGACUCUGAACUUAAAAAAAUAAUCUCAUUUCGAUUGUCACUUAAAUUGAAAAAAAUUCCCUUAUACCCCUUCCGGAGUAGAAAAAGGAGGUGUGACACAUAUCUAAUAAAAAAAUUCAACGAAAUGAUUUUCCAUUUCCACCACUUGAGUCUAAGGUAUGUCCGCCCCAUCAACUAAGCUUGAGAUAUGAACAGAUGAGCAAAAUAAUAUAAUUUAAGAAAAUUAACAAAAUAUUUUUUCUAACCACAUAAUCACUCAACUUUCAAUUAACAAAAUAUUUUUUCUAACCACAUAAUCACUCAACUUUCACUACAUAUUCUAGAAUAUAAUUCAGGCUAAGAACCGUAAAGGCUUGGCCGAAAACCAUACUAUUUCAUGAAAAAAUAAUUUUAAAAGUAAAAUAUCCGACCUCUUUUUGUCACAAACCCCAAUUUUUUCAAGAUGCCGUGAUGGCACCUAGUCUUAGGGACUAGGUAAGCUUAACAUUUAUUGAAGAAAUAACCAUAUUUAACUAACGACUGACCGAUACGAAAUAGAAAUCUUCAUACAAAACUUACAAUCCUAAAACCAGUAGUACAAGUCAUAAGCUUUACUGAGUUUGCUAGAAAAAUCUCUAAAUAUAAUUGUUUCUAAAGAGAGAUAAAACAGUGCAAGUACAAUAUCAGAAGGUCACUCUGAAGCCUGCGAAUGCAACAACAGGUUUAUAUUAAGUCUCCACAGCAAGAUCCGAACAACUAGCUAGCGGUCGAGUGACUCCGAAAUACUUAGAUCUGCACAAAAAUAUGCAAAAGUAUAGUAUGAGUACACCACAGCAGUACCCGAUAAGUAUCAAGACUAACCUCAGUGGAGUUGUGAUGAGGAAAAGUCAAGACACCUACUGGACUAAAUAACCUAGACAAGUAUAGUGUAGAACUAACAGAGUACGAUAUCUUUACAAAGCUACACAUAAUGAAAACAACAAUACGGUACUUGCAGUAGGAAAUAGAAGCAACAAUUAGCAGCAUGACACAACAAGUAAUAACACAGUAGAGUAAGCUGAAUACAAUUUAAAUCCGGCAAAAACAAAUAAAGGAAAGACAAACAACAACUCGAUAAGAAUAACCGCCUUCUCACCAUGUUGAUCGAAUAAUCUCCACAAGGUACCAAACCUCAAAAUAUUCACAAUUCACGGGUCCCAAUUCGUGAACCUUAAUCACUUGGCAUCUCAUGCCUUCAUUAAAACUGGUAAAUGCAUGGACGACUCGCAUGCCAAUAAACAAUUCUCACAUAGAAGGCAAGUAGACGAGGGUAUGUAUGAAUGAUCAAUAACAUCAGAAUACAUCUUAUUAGACCAAUAGGGGUGGUUAAUUACGUAUAUGCUUGUGCAAGUGUUCUAUCACAGUUCAGGCCAAUGAGUAAGAGUAGAGGAAAUGAAUGGCAUAUAAGAAAUAAUUCCCACGAUUUUGCACAAGGUAAAACUCACACAAGUUAGGCACGCCACUACACAAAUAUCAACAACAACAAUGCCCCCAGGCUAUCACAAAUCAUUAUCCGACAUAGCCCACCUUAUCUCGUCAUGUGCGCAAUACUCCCUCUAUUCCAAUUUAUGUGAACAUGUUUGACUGAGCACGGAGUUAUAAGAAAAAAUGAAGACUUUUGGAAUUUCUGGUCCUAAAUAAGUUAAAAAGGGGCCCAGAGUAUUUGUGGGGUCAUAAAUGCUUCUCAUUAAGGGUAGAAUUGUAAGUUUAAGCUAAAUUAUUUUCAAAUUUAGAAAGGGGUCAUUCUUUUUGGAACGGACCAAAAAGGAAAUAGGUUCACAUAACUGGAACGAAGGGAGUAAUAAAGUAUAUGUCUGCCUUGUCUCGCUGCACACACAUAGAAAUGUUCCCUUCUUGUCUCGCCACAUGCACAAACACACAGAUAUAGCCCAUCUUGUCACGUCGCAUGUGCAACAUCAAUAAUAACAAUAGCACGACAGAAACCUCGUGCAAACACCCAAACAAAUUCUACCAACAAUAUCACGUGUCAAAAACACAACAACACAAUAUUUCCUCUAAAUAGUGUCACUACCACCACCGCACAUAGCCCUCGGCUCAACAAACUGAGGACAACAACAAAAAUAAUAAUAACAUAAGAAUACGACAAAUAAAUCAACUCAAGAGUUUUGAAACACAAAGAAACGAUAGAACGAGCUCACAAAGAAUAAAUACAAUAGAGAAUACUAGUCUCAAUAAGAAUAGCUCAACAAAGGAGAAAUAAUAUGUAACAAAUGAUUCCACAAAAGUACAAUUCGACAACAAGGGAGAUAACAUGAGUCAAUAAUUCCAUAUAAGGAUAAGUCAACUAUGAUAACGAAUAAUUAAACUUCAUUUAGAGUUGAGAAAUUACGAAAGAGAUACAACAAAUUCAAUUAAGGAUAACCAACUUACAGAAAGGACAAUAAUAACCUCAAUUAAGGAUAGACAAUUACAGAAGCAAUAAUAAUAAUUUCAAUUACGGAUAAGCAAUUAGGAAAGGAUAGCAUGGCAAUCAAAAAGGCAACACUUCAGUUGAGGCACACAAGAGUCAAAUAGGCAAUAAGAGUGGAACAUGAAACAAUUAAUUCCAAUUAAGACACGUAGAGGUGAAACUAGUAAAUGAGGAACUUAACAUAACCAAACAACUUCAUAUAUGAUGAACAUAAGAACCUAAAAGCCCUAAUUAGUCAAUUUUCCACAAAUAAGCCCGAGCACGCACUCGCCACCUCGCGUACACAGACUUCACAUAACACAAUUAGCAUCCAAAACUCAUAUCCUAAGGGUAGUUUUCCCCAACAGCCUCCGGAUGGUUCAAAUCUAGUCAAAAUAACUUCAAUCCAUAAAUAAAACUCAUAGAAAAGUAUUUCGGAUAAUAAAGUUUCGAUCUUUAAAAAAAACUAAAGAGUCAACCCCCAGGACCGCACCUCGAAACCCGAUAAAAUUUACAAAACCCGAGCACUCAUUCCGAUACGAGUUCAACCAUACCAAAAUUAUUAAAUUCCGAUACCAAUUCGUCCCUCAAAUUAUCACUUUACAUUUUGAAAGAUUUCUUCAAAAAUUUCCCUUUUGUUCACUUUGAUUCUCACCAUUUUGAUGUUAAAAUUAAAAUAAAAUCAUGAAAUAUACAUAGAAAUUGAACAUGGGCACUUACCCAACGAUUAUGAAAUUCCUCUCUCAAAAUUGCCCACUAUCGAACCUAUGGUUCAAAAAUAUCACAAAAUGAAGCAAAAACCUAAAUUACACAACUGAAAACAAGCUGCAGAUGUCGCAUUUGCGAUUGCGAACUCUCGCAAAAGCGAAGAAGCCUUCGCAAUUGCGAACAAGAACAUGACUGGAAAAUAUCGCAAUUGCGACAAAUUGUUCACAAUCGCGAACUGGACAUCGCAAUUGUGAUAAAAAUAUUCGCAAUUGCAGCUACACCAGAAACUAACAAUUUCCCUGACACGGAAAUGAGUAUAACUCUUUCAUACGAUGUCCAAAUUUGACGAUUCUUUUUGCUAUGGCUUCGUAAUUACGAUACAGAUCUAAUGCUUAAAUAAAAACUAAAUUUAUAGCUCAUUUUAUUAAUGUAUAACCAUUUAUACUUGAAAAAACGACGCUGGAGCAUAAAAACAAGCGCAACACACCCUAAACCUAUCCGAAACCCACCCAAGCCACUCGGGACCUCAUCCGAACAUAUCAACAAGUCCCGUAAAAAAAAUCGGACCUACUCAAGGCCUCAAAUCACAUCAAAUAAUGUCGAAAUUAUGAAUCAUACCUCAAUCGACCUUAAUGAACUUAUGAACUUUCAACUUCUACAACUUGCGCCGAAUCAUAUCAAAUCAACCCGGAAUGACGUAAAAUUUUAUAUGCAAGUUCCAAAUGACAUAACGGAGCUAAUCCAACUCUAGAAAUUGCAUUUCGACGCCGAUAUCACCAAAGUCAACUCUCGCUCAAACCUCUCAACCUUCCAAACCUUUAUUUUUUCAAUUUUUGCCGAAAUGCUUCAAUUUGCCCUACGGACCUCCAAUUCCAAAUUCGGACGCAUGUCUGAGUCCAAAAUCACCAUAUGAAGCUGUUGGAAUCAUCAAAAUGCUAUUUCAGAUUUGUCUACCCAAAAGUCAAAACUCCGGUCAACUCUUACUGCGUAAGCUUCUAAAACAAGAAUCCUUCUUCCAAAUUGACCCCGAAUCAUUCGAAAACCGAACUCGACCACACAUGCAAUUCAUGACACAUAAUACGGAGCUACUCGAGACCUUAUACCGCUAGACAUGACGCUAAUUCUCAAAAUUAUUGUCCGAGUCGUUACAUCCUCCCCCUCUUAAACAAACGUUUGUUCUCGAACGUGCCAAGAAUCGUCCAGAAGUCAUCAAUUUUUUGAACGUAUUCAUCCUAUAUACACCCAUGGGUGAUCUUCAUCACCCCCAUCUAUAUAGGCCUGACGACACCAGCUUAACUGUAAUUUAUCCUUUUCCCCCAAUACCAAUAAGCCUUAGAACUAAAACUUUCUCCAUCUGUUUUCUACACCCGGUAUCAGCCUCAACCAAAUGCAACAACUUAAGCCUAUACCUACAAGGUACAACCACACAACAUGACACAUCACACAUAUGCCUAUUACAAUAUCUCUGAUCACAAUAGUUGUCCGUAAUCAAAACCUGCACCGACAAUUAGCCUCAUAUAUGUUAGAACUCUAUUUCAACCCUCCACAAAACUGAUAAUAAUGCAAGAAACACGAAGACCUUAUAACUAUUCACCUGAAUCACCAAGGAACCUCUAACGCCACCGGGCACACACCACGCAAGCUAAAACUCAAUAAGCACAAUACGAAAAUGACUGAAUAUGUAAGGAGAACACAUAAGAGAAAUAUCAAAUAAGUCCGACAGGCACAACUCACUAUCAAUACCAUUCUACGAAUCACUCUGCAAUGAAGAAUAAAAACAUAUGAACAAAUGACAAGGAUCUCAUCCUGAUAUUACUUCCACCACGACACGCAACCCGGUUCAAACAAAUCAAUCACAUGAAUCUGCGAGGGUUUCACCCUUAACUCUGAAUGACAAGUAGAAUACACAUCAUACCAACCGAAACCUUCCACUAAGUCAAAUACUCCAAUAAAAACCACAACACUUACUAAACUCUCACCCCGGUAGUGCAUAUAAAUCACAAAUCGUAACCAAAUUACAUAGAAAUCACAUCAAAACCUACCGUAAUGGCCAACAGGAAUUCACUUCUAGUCUUGUAACUCUCAACAGCAAAUAAAAUAAAAUGAUAGACACGGCUACCACAAGAAAAUCUCCCAACAUGGGUAAACACAUAAGCAAAGUACUAAGUCAUGAAGCUCACCCACAUGUGAAGCAAAAUAGGAGGACUCACCCCGAUAAACAGAACCGAAACAAAAUACAAAUGAUGCUCCUCUCUAAUAAAUCAAAAACAUACAUGUAUGAUAUCAUAUGGCAUAGCGGCCUUAUACCUACUGUAUGAAACACAUCAAUGGGUCAGGCUUCCCUCUCUUGGACACCCUCUACUGGCUUGAAUACCCCAUUGUGAUACAUCUGUCCAGAGUCUGGGACAAUCUCUCACCAUGUGGCUGGUAUCUCCACACUCGAAGCAACCUCUCUGCUGACGUGGUUGUGGAAACUGUGCGGUACAGGUACUAUGAAACCCAUGAGCACCUAAAACACUGUGUGAAGCCUAAGGUGCAAACUGAACUGGCUGACCCACAAAACCUCUACCAUGUCGUACCCUGCCUUCAAAAUAAGGACUAACAGAUUUCUCCGGUCUACGAGGCCUCUUAGCCUUCCUGUCCUCUCUCUCUUGACCUCGUAUAUCCUCUCUCUCCUGGCCUCGCCUGUCCUAUCUCUCCUGGUCCCGCAUGCCCUUUAAUCGGCGAGUGAUCUCUACCACCUAUUGAAAUGGAACAUCUGACUCCAACUCCCAAGCUAUGAUAAACAGGAUAUCAUGUCUGAGCCCCUCAAUGAACCGGCAGACUCUCUCUCUAACUGUAGCGACCAAAGGAGGUGCAUGUCUAGCCGAAUCACCGAAUCUAAUAGCAUACUUUGACACUGACAUAGUGCCUUAGCGUAUCUGCUCAAACUCUGCGCGUCAUGUAUCUCGAAGGGACUGAGGAACAAACUCUCUCAGGAACAUCUCUGAAAACUGAGCCUAUGAAAGUGAAGCUGCAUCGGCCGGGCUACUCAACUCAUACUCCCGCCACCACUGAUAUGCUGCUCCCUUAAGCUGGAGCGUUGUAAAAGCAACCCCACUCAUCUCUACAAUACUCAUAGUGCAGAGAAUAUGGUGACACUCCUCUAGAAAACCAUGUGCACCCUCUGAAGCCAAACCACUAAAAGUAGGAGGGGUCAUACUUCUUGAACCUUGCAAGUCUAAGUUGUUCUUCCUCAGAUGCUAUUGCCCUAACCGCGAGUUGAACUGGAACCGCAGGUUGUGUCGCCAUGACACCUGGAACCUGACCAUCGUGAACUCGCUGCUCUUGACUAAGGGCAGUGAGAGUCUGAGUCCCUCCUUCGACAUGUAAAGUAGCUGGUGCAAAUGGAAUCAACCCCGCUUGAGCCAAUGUACCAAAUAUGCUCAGGAACUGGGCUAAAGUCUCCUGAAGUCCGGGGGUAACAGCAUGAUCCUUGGGUACUUGUCCCCCAACCGGAGCUACUGGAGGCUCCUCAACUGCUGCUCUAGUAGGUACCCUAGCCUCGACACGUGCUCCUUUUCGGUGUCUGGUUCUGCCUCUAGCGACAUCUUCUCUGGGAGCAGUGUCAUCGGUAACUGCAGCUCGUGUCCUCACCAUCUGCGAGAGAAUGGAACAGUAAAAACUCAAACUCUAAGAUCAAUAAACUCGCACGAUAGGAAUGAAAGAAGUGAAACUGUCCUAAUAGUUUCGUAGCCUCUCGAAGAUAAGUACAGACGUCUCCGUACCAAUCCGCGAGACUCUACUAAACUCGCUUGUGACUCGUAGCACCUAUGAACCUAGAGCUCUGAUAACAACUUGUCCCCAAACACAAAGACCUACUCGAGGCCUCAAAUCACAUCAAAUAACGUUGAAAUUAUGAAUCACACCUCAAAUCAAAUUUAAUGAACUUAUGAACUUUCAACUUCUACAACUCGCGUCGAAUCAUAUCAAAUCAACCCAGAAUGACGUCAAAUUUUGUAUGCAAGUCCCCAAAUGACAUAACAGAGCUAAUUCACUCUCGAAAUCGCAUUCCGACCCCGAUAUCACCAAAGUUAACUCUCGGUCAAACCUCUCAACCUUCCAAAUCUUCAACGUUCUAAUUUUCACCGAAAUGCUUCAAUUUACCCUACAGACCUCCAAUUCCAAAUUUGGAUGCACUCCUAAGUCCAAAAUCUCCAUACAAAGCCGUUGGAAUCAUCAAAAUGCAAUUUUGGAGUUGUCUAUACAAAAGUCAAAAUUCCGAUCAACCCUUACCGCUUAAGCUUCUAAAACAAGAAUCCUUCUUCCAGAUUGACCCCGAAUCAUCCGAAAAUCGAACUCGACCACACAUGCAAGUUUAUAAUACAAAGCUGCUCAAGACCUUAUACCACCGAACGGGAUGCUAAUUUACAAAUGAUUGGCCGGGUCGUUAUAAUUUUUCCCCAAUUUAAGCUAGUACAAAAGGGGUACGUGGACCUGGUUAGUUCGAUUUUUAUCAAAACCAAACUAAACUAACUAUAUCGGUUUGGAUGAGUUCGAUUUUAUCGGAUUUUUCGAGUUUUUUUAUUAUGUGAAUAUUAUUUUAAUCGUACUUUGUUAAAUUUUUUAUAAGUAAAUAUAUGUUUAGUAAAAGUUAAAAAAAUUGACAAAUAUAUGAUCUAUUAAAAUAUUCUUAUAGAAGAAUUAUUUUAGUAACAUAUGAUAAUUAUUUUUCAGUGGCUUGACAAUAAUUUUACAUCGAUGUAUACUUUCAAGGUUUACCGAAUUUAAUAAUUAAAUAUAUAAUGAUAUGUUCUAUUUAAUUUUAAAUUAUCAAAAUACCAUUUCAAAUUCAAAAAAGAUAUAAGAAUUUAAUAGAUUUUGAUAUAUGAAUUUGAUAAGAAAGAUAUUGACGCAUUUCACUAACACUUGAUAAGAAAGUAAUCAUACAACUCAUUAUUUAAAGUCAAUAAAUAUGGAGUACUUCAUAUUUAACUAAAUAUUACUUCCCAGAAGAAAACCACAAAUAUUUCUAGAUAUUUUUUUUAAAGAAAAUCCUAUAAAAAGUCUUAAAAGUAUAUAUAAAAAUUAUAUAUUUAUAUGUCGGUUUGGUUCGGAUAUUUUUAUUCAACACCAAGCCAAUUAAGACAAAAUUUAAUCGGGCUUUUAAUCAGUCUGAUUUUACUUUUCAGUUUGGUGGGGUUUUCUAGUUCGAUUUGCACACCCUUAACUGUACAAUUAUGAAGUUGCAUUUAUAAGGGAGCCCCUUUGUUUUUAAUAUGAAAUUUUUUAUGCGUUAGAUAAAUUUUAAUACGGAUACUAAACAUCGGGUGAAAAAAAUAAAAAAUAGCCGGUACAAUUUAGUGGUUUCCAUGUGACGACCUACUGUUUUGCCUAUUCAUUUUACUAAAAUAAUAAUUGUCUACUCUUGCUCUCUUCUCCUUUGUGAAGUUAACAGUUAUUCUCGUGACACUUUCCAGGAAACAAAAAAGCUUGUUAAAGGAAAUAGACAAUCAAGUCCAUUACUUUUUUGAUUUUACAACAUGGAUGAUUUUCCUACAAGUGUGUGUAUAUAUAUAUAUAUAUAUAUAUAUAUAUAUAUAUAUAUAUAUAUAAUAAUAAUANNNNNNNNNNNNNNNNNNNNNNNNNAUAUACUCAAAAUCAAUAAAUGAGUCAUGAUUCUGUUGAGUGUUAAGAUUUUGAUGAUUAAGAGGGUUUAUUCAGAUGCAAUGUUCGAAGAACCCGAUCUUCAACGUAGCUGCUUAGAUGUUUUAAAAACCAGUUUUUUCAAGGUAAAUGACUUAGCUCUUAAUGGUUGAUGAAUGUACGUCUUUGCAAGACAACAAUUUUAUCUCAAUGUUACCCAGGUCCGAGUUUGGUGGAAGAAGGUUGCUACAGAUGAUAAGGAUUAUUGCCCAAGAAGAUACGAAAAAAAUCUGAGAGACAAGAGUCUCAAGACUUGUGGAGUCCUUGGAACAAUAGGAGUCCUAUCAAACGAGAAGCUAACUAUGCAUAAGACUCUUAGAAGAUCUUGGAGUCCGGGCAUUUAAAUACUAUCCAUUUGGACGGCUGAGAAAAUCCUUCAACACAUCAACUGAAAAACUACAUUUUGUAUACUCUAGUCGAGUACUAGUGUUGUGUUCUCCUUGAGUCAGUAUAGUGAAUGUGUUUUAGGAAAUUGGGUUGUAAUCAAAGUAUCCCAAAUAAUUAGUGUGUUGGAUUGAGUGUUUGCUUUACAGGUUAGAGUAACUUACAAAUCAAAUAGUCGUAGUAGGAGUACUGGAGAGUAUUGAUUACAGUCUUGUAAUCGAUACAUUUUGACUCAUUAUUCUAGCGGAGUUGAAAUUGAAAAUCCUACACAUUAAGUCGUGGUUCUUGCUAUCUUUUGAGUUUGGUGAUUUUCCACGUAAAAUCGAUGUGUUUACUUUACUGCUUAUUGUACUUCACGUUUAAGGAACGCGAAAAAGAACCAAAUUCUUUAGUAAUUCAUAAAGGCACUCAAAUUAACAGAUUCAACUUGUCUGAAUUUCGUUUUGGACAAUAUUAGUUAUGUCAAGACGGGUCUGGCAUGUCAAGGUAGAGGUAAUGUCUCUGUAUAUAAUAUACUCCUCAUAUCCUAGUAGUGAGAUUACACUAAAUUUUUAUUGUUGUUAUUGUUAUUGUUGUUAUUCAAGACGAGUCUGACACGGAUCAUAACCCUACGCAUCCAAUAUGAUCUAAUCUUUCGACUUUUAAUUUUCUCUUUAAUAGAAUAAUAUAAAAGAUAAUCUAUUUUUCUUAUAUUAGCUUAAGUGCUUAUAAAAUUUACAUAUCUCCUAGACUCCUAUCUCCAAAUUCAAUUCUGGAUUUUUGAGUUUAGAUAACAUUUUAACUUAUGGGGUUACACCAUUUCAUACGCUUUUACUCAAUAAUUUGAUGGAUCAUUUAAACUUCGAGUUACACCUUGAGUCAAUUCACAAUUCAAUCAGCUUAAACUUGAGCAAAAAAUGGCAGUUCGGUGCAUAAAAUAUUUCGCGUUCAUGCAGGAUCCAAGGAAGGACCGCUCCUUAAGUAGGUGUGAUGUAGGCAACCUACCCUGAUACAAGCAUCAAUAAUUAAUUUCACCGUUCGAACCCGUGACCUAUAGAUCACACGAAAAAAACUUGAUUGUUGCUCCAAAACUCCCGUUCUCGUUUAAACUUAACCGAAUUGAAUAGGUUAUUAAAACAAGAAUUCAUGCGUGUGUUAAUACAGGGAGAACCAACUACUUCUCCACUCUCAGAGAAAAUAUUAUCCUAUCAAACUUAAAUUAUUUAAUCUCAGUAAAAUAUUGAUGAGACAAAUAAUUUGAAAGUAGUUAAUAGAUAAUUCUUUUUCUUUGCUUAACCUAGUAAUUUAUAAAAGAAUGUUCCAAACCUUCAAUCAUAUCCAAUCAUUUGAUUCCCCUAAGGUAUCAAACAUGAUUUUCCGACCACCAAAAAAAAUAUGUUGAUUAGAAUUUGGAACAAUUAAUCCUCUGGAGUUGUUCAAACUUAGCUGGCUAUUCUUUUCUUUCAACUUUUUGGCUAUUGUUAACAUUUCUUUCUUUUUCUUUACUUGAUUCUUUAUAUAUUUGUAAAUAUACUACAUUAUAAUUAGUCUUCAGAGCUUUGGUCUAGUUGUAAGAGUGUAGUUGCAUGAUAUGUUGAGCAUACGCGUGUCACGGCGUGUCACGGGUUCAAACUUCUGCAACCGAAAACCUAAUUUUAUAGUUGCAUUAUAUGUUGAGUAGGCGCACGUUACAGGUUCAAAAUUCACCGAACAAAAACCUGAUGUUUGUAUUAGUUGCAUGAUAUGUUGGGUAAACUCGCGAACAAAAACCUUAUGUUUGUAGUUACAUGAUAUGUUGAGUAGGCACACGUCACGCGCACGUCACGGGUUCAAAUUCCUGCGAACAAAAACGUAAUAUUUGUAGUUGCAUUAUAUGUUGAGUAGGCGGACUUCACGAGUUCAAAAUCCCUCGGACAAAAACCUAAUGUUUUUAGUUAUGCAUGAUAUGUUGAGUAGGCUCGCGGGCGAAAAUUUGAAGUCUGUAGUUGCAUGAUAUGUUAAGUAGGCGCAAGUCACAAGUUUUAAAAAAAUCCCUGUUAUAUAAGUAAAGAAUGGUAGAAAAGCAGGCCAAUUAUCUGUCGAUUUUCGAAUCGUAUAUCAGAAAUUUCUUGGUUAUAAAAGAAAUAUGAUAUUAUAAUUAAAUUAUUUGGUGAUGGAUUUAGGUCUUUAAUCAUUUAAGAUAAUUAUUUGUUCUCACAAAGAGACAAAGGAAUAUGGGCCUAUAUCCUCGCAGUUCUUAGCAACUUCCACAUGACUUCAACUUUAAAAUAUUAUGGGAAUAGUGCUAUAUACACUCAUAUGAUUGGUAUGUGCCAAAAAUUAAAUAAAUUACUAAUUGAAAAGUGGAUGAAAAGAGUGAAAUGUGGCUGUUCAAGUUCAAUGAAUUGAAUAAAUUAUGUAUUCUUUUUGUCUAUAAUUAGCCAAAUAUUAAUCCACACUUUUCUACUUUCAAGUUGUAAUAUAUUACUAUUUGUUUCAUACUACCAAAUUCCUUAUUAAGUAUUUAAUUGAAAAUUGAACAUAUCUUGAACAAGUAAACAACUCCCCCAAGCCUGGCAUUAUUAUUAUUAUUAUUAUUAUUAUUAUUAUUAUUAUUAUUAUUAUUAUUAUUAUUAUUAUUAUUAUUAUUAUUAUUAUUAUUAUUAUUAUGGUUAUGGGAAAGAGGGAGACGAAGAAAGGAAUGUUGAGAAAGAGGGAAUCUUUUCUUUUUCUCACAUAGAAUAAUUUACCUACUUAAAGGAAGCAUACCUGUUGAUGAAGAGUAAAGAAAGACAUCGUAUUAUAAUUAAUUUUCAUUCAUUGUUGCCCCAUCUUUAUUCUCUAAGUUCCAAAGUUUAUAUCUGUCGAAUUUAUACCUGACUCAUUUAGAUGAAAUAAACCCACAAAAGAUAUGGUCAGAUUCAGGUAUUUUAGUAUUGACCCGUUUGACAUGGAUGAAAAACCAGGUGGCAACAUUUAAUUGAAUAUUUAUUACACCUCAAAUUUGUGUAUACACACGCACUAUAUUUUUUGCACUGAUUUUAACUUUUGUGUUAAAGUGGAACAUAAGAAAUAGAGUUGAAAGGUCAAAAUGGAACAUAUAAAAUAGUGUUGGAGGGCCAAAAUGAAAUAAGGUACAAAUAAAGUGUCAAAAUGAAAAAUUAGUGAGACACACUUCAGUCGAUAUUAGUCGGACCAAUACCUUAUUGAAUAGGCCGUGGGCACGGAAAAGAAUCGAGUCGACCAGGCUCAACGUUCAGGAGAAGCUAAAUGAAAUUAGGAUCUAACCGAACUCGUCGGACCCAUUGUAUGAAGUACCAAAACUUAUAAAAUAGGUACAUAUGAGAUAAUAUCUUACGAGGACUUUGACAAAGUCAUCAACGUAACAACAACGACAAUAAUAAUAAUAGAUAUUGAAAGGGAAAAUAUUGGAAAUUUAAUUAGUCUCAUUUGGUUGUCUAUAUUAGUCACAGCUAGGUAGAGAAUAAAGUUUUGGAAAAGAAAAAGCAAGCUGUAAAUGGGAACAAUUAUGUGUAUUUCAUUACGCGGAGAAACUUUAGGGUUUUUUUUUUCACAUCUUAAUUUUGGGGAUUAAGGUUAAUUAAUUAAAUUAGCACUGGACCAAUUAGUUCAAAUGUCCUUACUUUAAUUUAGACCACUUUCACUUUUCUCUAUCUCAUAAUGUUACUCGAUUUAUAUGAUAAAAAACUUAAUACACUUUUGUAAGCUAGCUAAUUAUAGAGAGGGCAUUAAUUGGAAGAAAAUUGCAAUAUUUUCUUUUCAAGAAAUUUAGUUGUUUUAUUAUAAAACUUACAUUAGCCAUAUCAGCAAAAAUCAGAUGCGGGGCUAGGAUUUAAACCUGCGGGUUCAACUUUGAAAAUUCUUAGCACUGAAUCCAUUAUAAUUUUAAUUUUAAUAGAUUUUAUAUAUAAAUUUAUGAUCCACGUCGAAAGUUAUGGGUUCAAUUGAACCUGUACUUAUAAAGCUACAUUCGCCUCGGCAAAAAUUAUUAUACUAGAAAUUUCAUUUUUAAUUUAUAGGUGUAAUAUUAUAAAAGUAAAAUGAAAUGCCAACUUAGAACAACUAGCAGCCACAACAAACAUAUUGUCGUUAGGUUAUUCAUUUAUUCUUAAGUACAAUUAAUUCUCUAAUUUGGGUAAUUAAUGAACUGUAAUUCGAGUUAUAUGUGCUUUCUUCUUCAAAUUCCACUAAUUAGUUAAUAAUGAAAGCAUAUAAGGAGUAUUUCAAGUAAAAUAAUGGUUCGCUCCCAAAUAAUUAAACUUUUUUUAGUUGAAAAUGAUGUUUAAACGCAAUUUCAAAUAUUCUUUUCAACUUUAAUUUCAGUACUUUAUUUUAUUUUAUAAAAUGCCUACACAAAUUUAUUUUUAAAAGAAAGAAGGAACAACCUUUUCAACCUUCNNNNNNNNNNNNNNNNNNNNNNNNNNNNNNNNNNNNNNNNNNNNNNNNNNNNNNNNNNNCGACUUUUCGAAUCUUAUAUUUGUCUUAAAUUUUUUAUUGAAUAUGCAUAAAUUACUAAUUUAGAUCCCAAUAAUUUACGGCGAUUAAAAUCCUGAACUCAUAAACUUGAAAUCAUAGCUCUGUAUAAUUGAAUUCAUUUUCAAAAUAUUGCUGGUUACAUAUUGUAUUGAACUUUUGAAGAUGAGUUUCAAAUUUAAAAAGUGGUUUUUAAUUAUUUUUCAAAUAAAUAAUAUUUUCUCAAAAUACUACAAUAUUUUUCAAGUAAAAUAUAUGUUCAAAUAUAAUUUUAAUUUUCAAUUACUUUUUCCAACUCAACUUUAAAAAUUGUACUUUUUAAAAAAUCUUAUACUUGUCAGUCUGACCAAUAAAGAAGGGAUUGAAAAUAAGGGAGCCGAAGAAUCAUAUGAAAUUGUUGGAAAAUGGGUCCCAAAUUCUGUGGCAGAAAUAAUACUUUUGGUUGACGGGCUGCAUGUUGCCUACUGCCGACAAAAACGGAAAGAAAACCGUGAAAUUGUAAAUUUCAUAAGUCAAGAGUCAAGGCUCCUCCAUUCUAAUUAAUUAAUAUUAAAAAGAAUUUUUCAUGUUUCAUAUUUAAAUUAAAUUAAUUUUACUCAAUGUCCUUUAUUUGCUUUAGAGUCCGAAUUAAUCUGAAUUCGCGUCAUAUAAGACUCAAUAAAGGAGAAAACAUUCUCUAUUAAAUUCUUUUCAUUCCCAAAAUUCGAAACAAAAUCUGAGAUUAAGGGUGAAAAGAUCGUAUUCAUCACACCAUUAUUUUUUGUGUAUUAAUUUUAUUUUAUUUUAUUAUAAUUAAGCCAUAAAAAUAUCAGAGCUUUGUACUUAGUGACUAGUUCGAGCCUUAGAAGCAUGUGAAGGAAUAAGGUCUGGAAUAAGUCUUGUAUGAGUCCUUUAAUCUCCGAUCUUGCUAGCCGGAGGUUCGGUCUUUCAAGAUUCAAUCUUUCCCCUUUCGGUCCUAGGGAAUCGCUCUUAUAGUAGGUGUCAAAAGAACUCGGCAAAAUGACUCUGUAACUUCUGAUAUAUAAAAAUAUAUAUUAUUAAUUGAGUAUUAUUAAAUAACAAAACUUUAGGUAAGAGACACAAAAUUCAUAUAUUUAUUGAUUAAUUCAAAUGCAACACAAUAGAUUAGUUUUUUUUUUCUCCAAUUUCUAUUUUGAGAGCUCUUUUUUAUUGCUAAUAUUUCCCCAUAUAUUACGUGGCUCUCUUCCUUUUCCGCCCGUGCCUUCCUUAUUUACAUUCUUUUUUUUUAAUCAUUUAAUAAUGAUACUCGUAGUUAUAGACGGAGCCGGAAUUUGAAGGUUAUGGAUUCGGGGUUCUAAUUAUUUUAAGUUAUUGGGUUUUAAAAUAAUAAUUAGUACAUAUUCACUGAAUUUCAUAAGAUAAAUACAAAAUUUUGACCAAAGGUACUGAAUUCGGCCGAAACUAUAACUGAUGGGUUUGCUUGGCCCCUGCUCGUAGCAUUUAGGUCAGUCUACACAUUUCGAUUCUCGACUAUUCAUAGUCUUUUUAUUUUUUUCUAAUUAUUUAAAUUAAUUGGCUCCAACUUUACAUCAAUUUACCAGUUUUGCUUUGGUUUUGGCUUUAAUACAUUUCUUGAGUUUUGACUAAUGUUGGUUCCUCGAACAUGAUUUGUCCUUUGAUUUUUUCCCUCUUCCAUGUUUCAUAUUAUCUGAAUUAAAUAAUUAAUCACACACACAAAAAAAAA